RNAcentral lists this long non-coding RNA (74099 nucleotides) under Triticum aestivum (bread wheat). Its description in RNAcentral is "long non-coding RNA (TAES_LNC007390)". Lineage: Eukaryota; Viridiplantae; Streptophyta; Magnoliopsida; Poales; Poaceae. The record is from RNAcentral.
ACCUCUCAAGUUAGUCAAAACGGUCUUAGGGACCCAAAUAGCAUAGAACCGGAAUGCGUUUCGAGGACCAACAAAUUUUGCAAAGACUUCUCCAUCCUUAGUCUUACGAAGUACAUAGGAUGGAGGCAUGAACUCUUUAGGCUUGUUGAGAGUGGGCAUGCCCCUUGUGGCCUUCCCACUCGCAACCUUACCUUUAUCCUUUUGCCCUUCUCUUACAAAUGUUUCUUUUAGAGGAGUUAUGCACUUUUGAGAGGACGUCUUCUUCUUGCUUGUGCUUGGGUCAAACCCAAGUCCCUGUUUGGCAAACACCUCAUUGUGUUGACUCAAUAUCUCAUCAAGAUUCUUUUGCCCUUGAGCACAUGUCAUGAGACCUUUCUCGAUUUGAGCCUUUAGAAAACGAUUUUCCUCAAGAAUAGAUGCUAGAUCACUACUAGAAUUAGUAGUACAAGCAUCAUCAUUGAUAAUAGGAGAAGAGUAAGCCUUGGCUAGUGUUUGAAGCUAAGUACGUUUGAGUGUCUCAAAACUCUUUGUAAGAACGGAGAGCUCUUCUUCCUUAGUCUUGAGAGACACGGAUAGAAGCACACAAUCCUUAGAUAGAAGCAUGAGACUUUACAAGCUUACUUUUAUCAUUCAUUAACUCUUCACAAGAGUCAAUAGCCUUUUUCAAGGAGGCAAGAUCAUUAGUGUGAACAUCAAUAUUUGCACCAAUUUUUAAGCAUAAUUCAUCAUUUUGUGCUUCUUCAUAUUGGACUUUCCGCUCAAGGAUUUCAUUCCUUUUCCUCAAUGACGAGGGUUUCGAGUUCAUUAAUGGUGAUGGUGUGCUUACUCACCAUCUCCAUAAGCAUACGAAACAUAGUGAGCUUCUUUACUUUGAGCGAGCACAUGAACUUAUUAAGUUUAGCAAUUAUAGGAUCAUCUAGAUCAUCAUCCUCAUAACUAUCCUCUGCAUCAAGAUACUCAUCACUAGGAGUAGAAGGAGUGAAGAAAGGAGGGUUUGAUCGUGGAGUUACCUUGAUCUUGUCAGAAGAGCUUUGGUCCUCUCCAUCUUCAACCAUGGUUGUCGGUGUCAAAACCGGCGGAUCUCGGGUAGGGGGUCCCGAACUGUGCGUCUAGGCGGAUGGUAAUAGGAGACAGGGGACACGAUAUUUUUACCCAGGUUCGGGCACUCUCGAUGGAGGUAAAACCCUACUCCUGCUUGAUUAAUAUUGAUGAUAUGGGUAGUACAAGAGUAGAUCUACCACGAGAUCAGAGAGGCUAAACCCUAGAAGCUAGCCUAUGGUAUGAUUGUUGUUCGUCCUACGGACUAAAACCCCCCGGUUUAUAUAGACACCGGAAAGGGCUAGGGUUACACAGAGUCAGUUACAAUGGGAGGAGAUCUUCAUAUCUGUAUCGCCAAGCUUGCCUUCCACGCCAAGGAAUGUCCCAUCCGGACACGGGACGAAGUCUUCAAUCUUGUAUCUUCAUAGUCCGGGAGUCUGGCCAAAGGUUAUAGUCCGGCCAUCCAGACACCCCCUAAUCAGGGACUCCCUCAGUAGCCCCCGAACCAGGCUUCAAAGACGACGAGUCUGGCGCGCAAAUUUGUCUUCGGCAUUGCAAGGCGGGUUCUUCUCCAAAUCCCAUAUACCUGUUGAAUACUGUCCGGCUUCUGGUGAAUGUUGUGCUCCUUGGCUUCUGCGCCCAAUAAUGGCCGUCUUCCACAUGUCAAACCAAUGCGAAAAGCCAGGGUGUUUUUUCAUUUACCUCCCUAGCUGUGCAAAUGAGCUGCCUAUAAAAGAGACAGGGAUUUAGAUUCGAAUCACACCAUCCUUCCUUCGCGAGCUUUCAUCGGAGCGCAUUCGACAGAGAUCCAUUCCAUCAUGGCCGAUCGACGCAGCUCCUCCUCUUGCCCUCCCAGUCCUCAGCCUGGAUAUUGGGAGAGAUGCUCCGUCCCGCACAGGAGCUAGUGGCGCUCCAAGCCAAGGGGUUACUCCCCCCGGCCUACAUGGUCCCGGUUCGAGCCGGGCUCGCCACCUAUAAUGGUGGAGAGCAAGCGAAGAGCGUCCCCAAUCCCUCCAAAGGAGAGCGGGUAUGCCUUGUCCCUUAUUUGAUAAGAGUGCUCGGAUUUUCACUUCAUCCGUUUCUCCGGGGGCUCCUGGAGUUCUACGGCCUCCAGUUGCACAGCCUUAUGCCUGCCUCCGUAUUGCAUAUUGCGGGCUCCGUAGCCCUUUGCGAGCUGUUUUUGGGUGUCGAGGCUCAUUUCACGCUGUGGAAGAAGAUGUUCUGCCUCGUGCCCCGUUCUCAUGAGGGGUCGAUAUAUCAAGUGGGCGGAGCCAAACUAUGGCGCAUCGCCGGGACCGGAUACCUAUUCGGAACCCCAAAGAAGGCGUCUGAAGACUGGCCUUCAGAAUGGUUUUAUAUAGAAGACAUCCCCUUGCCGGACCCUGUUCGGAUCGGCCUCCCCGAGUUCGACAAUGCUCCUCUGAAGAAGCGCCUAAGCUGGCGUCCAUGGAGCCCUCAGAGGGAAAGUGACAAGGACGUCCUUUACCUGAUGAACCGGAUAAGGUUGUUAGCCCAUUCCAGACUAACCAUGAUCGAGGUCAUGGCCACAUGCAUUAUGCGGGGGGUGCAGCCGCUUCAGUACAGAGGCCACCCCAUGUGGGAUUUCAACGGGGAGGACGACGCCACCCGGUGCGGCCGCAAGGGGCCAGAUUUGGCUGCCACUCUAAUGAAGAUCUUGUCCUCUUUGUACAAGGGAGAAGAGGAGGAAUUCCUCCGAGUCAACCCACGGGGCGGAUUUUCUAUGUACAACCCUCCAAGCUGGGUAAGCGAACACUUUCACUUGCCCAUCCGUUUUCAUAUUCCCAUAGUUAAGUACUUAGCCUAGCAAUUUUAACAUAGGAGCUACGCCAGACUGUAAAGGAGAUAAACAGCCCUCCUCCACAACCCGAGGACCCAGAACAGUCCCUCGAUCCGGACUCCCAAGAGGACCCGGACUUAUGUGUGGAGCUGAUUGAUGGGGUGUUUCAUGAAUUGAGCAAGGACAACACCUUAGUGGCCAUUAUGGCCAAUUAUCCCGGACUACUUCCCGCCCCACAAGUAACCAAGACCGAAGUCCCAGCACUCUUAAAAUGAUUCAUCCGUGCUUAUUUUUGAUCAUCGUAUACCGAUGGCGUCUUCGCAGGGGAAGUCUUUGAGGCGGAGGGCCGAGCCUGCGGUGGCUAGCCAACACGGGGCAUCAAGGUCCGGCGGGCUCAAAAGAAGUGCGGUCCGGAUUGAGACGCCGGCGCAACGGUAAGUCGUGCCAUUUUGUCCCUCGGGUUUUAUUCCCUCGAGGCGUACCAAUGCUCAUGCUCUUUUCAGGAAAAAGAGCGCUCGCCGGACUAUAUCCGGAGAGGUUGCCGAUCGCGCCUCCACCGACCAGGCUCCAAGGCCGGGUCCGGAAGCGGAGGCGAGCACGAGGCGCGCACCGGACGUUCCUCCGACAAAGGAUGCGGACGGGCUGUCUGCCACCAAUUCAGAGGUGGAGAGUGCCAUGAACCACAGGCGUCGCCGGACAGUUCCUCGUGACGCUUGUUUCUCCCAAGAGGCGUUAGAUGCCUUCAAUACGGGAGAUGCGUAGCUCCGUGCCGCUCAAAAUGGUCUAGCCAGAGCCACAGAGCAGUAUGUAAAAGACAUAUGGGUGAUAAAAUUUGAUGGUUAUAUAUAUAUCAGUAGCCCCCGAGACUUGAAACAGUUAGAAUAACUAAUUUAAGGAUCAUUUGUUAUGCAGGAUCUUACAGAAAAGAAUACCCAACUGUCCCAGGAACUGGAAGAGUGCAAAGCCCAACUUGAGGCCGCACUAGCCGCGGCGGGGGAGGCCAAGGAGACCCCCUCUGGUAAUAUAUGCUUCAAAAGAUAAGUAUGUUGCAAAGUGCGGCACGUGUACAAGUCUGACAAUAACAUUGCAGAUGGCGCCGGAGUGGAUCCGGACAAACAACAACUCUUAUGUCGGUUAAAGGCCGGUGAGAGCGUCCUUACGAGGGUGAGGCAAGAGAAGAAUAAGCUCCAAGAUGCCAACACCCAGCUGGGCGAGGAGCUAAAGGACGUUUGUGCUCAGCUGUCGGACUCCAUGAAGGAGAAUCAGCGGCUUCGACGCGGCAUUUUUAGUAAGUGCUUGAACGAAGUACGAAAAGAAGAGUUCGACGAGGAAGUCGAUUGACAGAGUUAUGUCUGUAGGUAUGAUGACAGGUCGACCUGCAAAGGAAAUGCCCGGUUCUAUGGGUGACCUUCUUCCCGAGCUCUCACAACUGCACGAACGAGUUCGGCAGGUGAUGCAAGGCCUCGCCUAGGCCUUGUGGCCGUCCGUCUCCAUGCCCGAAGGCCUUGGAGAGCUUGCAGAGAAGCUGAAGGGAGCGCGGCGUCACUUUCGAUUAUGGAAGAUAUCGGCCUGCCGUCAAGGCACCAGGGAGGCCUGGGCCAUGGUGAAGACGCGGUACACGAAGGCUGACCCAAACCACAUGGCCGAGGUCGGACCUGUGGGGCCCGAUGGGAAGGAGAUCCCUGUCAGUUUAGUGUACGGCCAGGUAGAGUUGGCCGCCAAAUAUUCCCAACAGGACUGUAAACUAGACAGCCUAUUGGAUGGUAUUGAAGAGGAAUAUACCCAGUCACAUUGACUGUGUAAUUUAAAAUGACAUGUAAAAUGCCUUCUACCCGGAUUGUAGAUUGUUUGUCAUGGCGGACCUUUUCGCUUCGACCUCGGGACUCGAUAGUCCGGAGUGUGUCCUAAUACCCUCUCGGUUAUGUAAGAACCGGGGCAUGCGUGGAGACCAGGCGUAGGGGUCAUUAGUGCUUUAUCAGACAAGUGCCCAACUAGUUAUGUUAUAUUACAUGGCUAGUAAGAAACAUCUUCCAGGAAGAAUAGUUCCGUUAGGGGUUCCUUUCCCUGGGAGGCAUGCCCUAAAGUGCAUGUCCGGACUGCGAAAAAAGCAGAAAAGCAUCUGGGGGCGGAUAAAUAAACGAGGUAAAAAUCAUCUUUUAGUUCACCCACCGAAUAUUCACUUAAGAACGCUAGCUUUCGGCUUCACCCAGUCUGAGGUACACAUCCGGCUGACCCGGCAGUAACAAUCGCAGAGGUGCUCCCUUUACCACCUAGCCGAACAAUCAGGAACAUAGGGGUAAGCACAGGAGCCAGGCAACCCAGCUUGGCCAAAACUUAAGUCAUAUCGAUGCAUAUAAUGGUGAAUAAAAUGUACAUGCGGAAGUGUGACACAUGUGUUGGGCAUGAGGCCCGUAGAAUCAAGCUUCUAUUAAAGAAGCCCCCAGGUAUAAUGAGCGCGGAUAGCGCGUCGAUUGUUUGCAAACAAGGCACAAACGAGCCCUCAAAGGCUGUAAGAGAAAAGGAGGGAGAAGGAGAGAAAUAUAAGACAACUAAUAUGUAAAAAAUGGAUAGAGGAAGGAGACGAACACAGAGUCCGGCGCUUAUGCGUAGAAUCUUCUUAGACGGGCUGUGUUCCAUGGGUUCGGCUCGAGUCGGUUAUCCAAUGAAUUUCGCAGACGAUACGCUCCGCCAAUCAGGACUUGGUCGAUUAUGAAGGGGCCUUCCCAUUUGGGCUUGAGUUUGUCCUUUUUCUUGUCCGGCAAUCAUAGAACUAAUUCGCCAACAUUGUAAGUUUUGGCCCGUACUUCUCUGCUUUGAUAUCUUCGAGCCUGCUGUUGAUGGAAUGCGGAAUGGGCUUUUGCCACGUCGCGCUCCUCCUCCAAGGCGUCCAAACUGUCCUGCCGAUCGAGUUCGGCUUCUCUUUCUUCGUACAUGCGCACGCGAGGUGAGUCAUGAAUUAUGUCACAGGGCAGAACUGCCUCUGCGCCGUAUACCAUAAAGAAUGGUGUGAAUCCGGUAGUGCGAUUCGGCGUGGUCCACAGCCCCCAGAGUAUGGAGUCGAGCUCCUCUACCCAGUGCAUGUUAGAUUCCUUGAGGGACCGCACUAGUCUGGGUUUGAUGCCGCUCAUGAUUAGACCAUUUGCUCGCUCGACUUGACCGUUAGUUUGUGGGUGAUAGACUGAAGCGUAGUCGAGCUUGAUGCCCAUGUUUUUGCACCAGAUUUUUACCUCAUCGGCCGUAAAGUUCGUGCCGUUAUCAGUGAUGAUGCUGUGGGGGACGCCAUAACGGUGUACGACCCCUGAUAUGAAGUCUAUCACUGGUUCGGAUUCGGCCGUCUUAACAGGCUUGGCCUCUAUCCAUUUGGUGAAUUUGUCCACCAUGACCAGUAAGUAUCUUUGCUUGUGGGUUCCCCCUUUAAGGGGUCCAACCAUGUCAAGCCCCCAGACCACAAAGGGCCAGGUGAUGGGUAUAGUUUGGAGGGCGGUGGGUGGCAUAUGGCUUUGGUUAGCAAAUAAUUGGCAACCGACGCAUCGUUGGACUAAGUCCUGAGCAUCUGCCCGGGCCGUCGACCAAUAGAAUCCAGUACGGAAGGCCUUGCUUACAAGGGCUCGGGCUGUGGCAUGGUGCCUGCCGAGUCCGGCAUGAAUCUCAGCCAGGAGAUUUCGCCCUUCCUCUUCGGAGAUACACCUUUGAAGGACUCCGGUGGUGCUUUUCUUAUAAAGCUCUCCCUCAUGGACUUUAUAGGAUUUAGAUCGUCGCACUAUGCAGCAUGCCUCGUUUUGGUCCUCUGGAAGUUCCUGCCUGGUUAAGUAGGCUAGGAAUGGUUCUGUCCACGGGGCAAUGACUGCCAUUAUUACGUGGGCUAAAGAUGUUACUUCAUUGGCAGAGCCUCCCGUUAUGUCAGAAUGUUCGGUGUCAGGCGGUGUGGUUGGGUCCGGGCUGUUAUUUCCGGAUUCCCCUUCCCAUGAUACGGAUGGCUUGAAUAGCCUCUCCAAGAAAAUGUUGGGGGGGACUGCAUCACGCUUUGCGCCAAUGCGUGCCAACACGUCUGCUGCCUGAUUGUUUUCCCGGGCUAUAUGGUGAAAUUCAAGCCCUUCGAACCGAGCUGACAUUAUUAGGACGGCGUUGCGAUAAGCUGCCAUUUUUGGAUCAUUGGCAUCAAAGUCUCCAUUUAUUUGGGAUAUGGCGAGGUUCGAGUCCCCACGCACCUCUAGGCGUUGAAUGCCCAUAGAGACUGCCAUCCGGAGACCGUGUAGAAGGGCCUCGUAUUCGGCUGCGUUAUUGGAGUCUGUAUACAUUAUUUGGAGUAUGUAUUGAACUGUAUCUCCUGUUGGGGACGUCAAAAUGACGCCAGCCCCCAGACCAGCUAGCAUUUUCAAGCCGUCGAAGUGCAUGAUCCAAUUGGAAUAUGUGUCGUACUCUUUAGGGAGUUCGGCUUCAGUCCAUUCGGCGACGAAGUCGGCCAAAACUUGCAACUUGAUAGCUCGUCGUGGCUUGUAGGUUAUGUCGAACGGGAGGAGCUCAAUGUCCCAUUUGGCAAUCCGGCCCGUCGUGUCGCGGUUGUUUAUAAUGUUGUUAAGAGGUACUUCGGAGGCUACUGUUAUUGAAGACUCUUGAAAGUAGUGUUGCAGCUUACGGGAUGCCAUAAACACUGUGUACGCUAUCUUUUGAUAAUGUGGGUACUGUGACUUGCAUGGAGUGAGGACAGUGGACACGUAGUAGACUGGCUUUUGAAGGGGGAAUUUGUGUCUGUCUGUUUCUCGUUCAAUGACGAGUACUGCGCUUACAACUUGAUGAGUUGCUGCAAUGUAUAAUAGCAUUGGUUCGCUGAUAUUAGGUGCGGCCAGGACCGGGUUUGUUGCCAAUAUGGCUUUUAUUUCUUCGAGUCCAGCCGUGGUGGCAUCCAUCCACUCAAAGUGUUCGGUGCACCGGAGGAGGCGAUAAAGGGGUAAUGCCUUUUCUCCCAAGCGGGAGAUAAAGCGGCUUAGAGCCGCCAUGCAUCCAGUCAAUUUUUGUAUCUGUUUGAGGUCUUUUGGAAUGUCCAAUUGUGACAGAGCUCGGAUCUUGGAUGGGUUUGUUUCAAUUCCUCUACCGGAUACAAUGAAGCCCAAGAGCUUUCCGGCUCGUAUGCCGAAAACGCAUUUUUCUGGAUUAAGCUUGAUGUCAUUUGUCCGGAGGUUAUCGAAUGUGAGCCUCAAGUCGUCCACUAGAGUUUCGACAUGCUUGGUCUUGACAACCACGUCAUCUACGUAUGCCUCCACUAUUUCACCGAUCUGGUUUGCCAGACAUGUCUGUAUCAUGCGCUGAUAUGUUGCGCCGGUGUUUUUGAGCCCGAAGGGCAUUGUGUUGAAACAGAAUGGGCCGUAUGGGGUGAUGAAUGCCGUUGCGGCUUGGUCUGGCUCUGCCAUCUUGAUUUGAUGGUAGCCGGAGUAUGCGUCGAGGAAACACAAUGAAUCAUGUCCUGCAGUGGCGUCGAUAAUUUGAUCGAUGCGGGGGAGGGGGAUUGGAUCCUUUGGGCAAGCCUUGUUGAGGUCCUUGAAAUCGACGCAUAGGCGCGAGGAUUUGUCCUUCUUUGGUACCAUCACUAGGUUUGCUAGCCAAUCCAGAUGUUUUAUAUCUCUGAUGAAUCCGGCCUCCAGUAGUUUGGCUAGCUCCUCUCCCAUGGCUUGUCUCUUAGGUUCAGAGAAAUGCCAAAGAGCCUGCUUGACAGGCUUGAAUCCUUUUAGGAUGUUUAGGCUGUGCUCGACCAGCCUGCGUGGGAUUCCUGGCAUGUUUGAAGGGUGCCAGGCGAAAAUGUCCCAAUUUUCGCGUAGGAAUUCUUGUAGUGCAGCGUCUACAUCAGGGUUUAAUUGAGCCCCGAUGGAGGCCGUUUUUGUAGGGUCCGUUGGAUGGACUUGGAAUUUGACUAUUUCGUCCGCCGGUUUAAAGGAGGUGGACUUGGAGCUUUUAUCGAGUAUUACGUCGUCCCUGUUCACCGAAGAGCGCAGUGCAGUCAGUUCUUCGGCCGCUAGGGCUUCGGAUAGUGCCUCAAGGGCCAGUGCGGCUGUCUUAUUUUCGGCGCGGAGUGCUAUGUCCGGGUCACUAGCAAGAGUGAUGAUCCUGUUGGGUCCGGGCAUUUUGAGCUUCAUGUACCCGUAAUGGGGUAUAGCUUGAAAAAUUGUGAAUGCCUCUCGCCCUAAUAGAGCGUGGUAUCCGCUGCUGAACGAGGCCACUUGGAACGUGACCUCCUCAGAUCUGUAAUUAUCCAGCGUGCCGAACACCACAUCCAGUGUGAUUUUUCCUGUACAGCACGCUUCCCGACUGGGGAUUAUUCCUCUGAAGGUUGUGUUGCUUCUCUCAAUGCGGCUCCAGUCUAUUUCCAUUUUUCGAAGGGUUUCCUCAUAGAUGAGGUUCAAUCCGCUGCCACCGUCCAUGAGUACCUUGGUAAGUCGAAAGCCGUCCACUAUCGAACUGAGGACCAAUGCGGCUGGUGCUUGGGCUGUUCGGAAUUUAGGUUCAUCACUGGCAUUAAAGGUAAUAGCCGUGUCACUCCAUGGGUUUAUUGUUGCUACUUGGUAGACUUCGGCAAGGCUGCGGAGUGUUUGUUUCUGCAUAUUAUUUGAUGCGAAAGUCUCGAAGACUGUUAAUACCGUACUGGUAUCCCUGGGGUGGUGCUCUGUGAAUUCUGGAUUUAAAAGCUCCUCGCCACUUUUGGCCACCUGCCGGAGUAUCCAACAUGCUCUAAGGCUGUGAGUUGGUGCGGCGUCCUCUAUACUAUGAAUUUUACAGGGUCCAUUGAGCCAUCCCUCCAGUACGGUUCCAUGCCCUAUAGAGGGUUUUUGUUUUUUGGUGUUUGACCCCGGUGCCUGGCGAUAAUGCAUCGGUUUAUUUCGGACUGGGGUUGUAUUCAGGGCCGGAUCGUCCCAGAAUUUUAUUUUGGUUUUCCGGACACUUUCCAUCGCACAGUAUUUUCGUACUAUGGAUGCCAAGUCAGCGAAGUGUGUAAUCUCACGGCGACUUAUGCUGUUGAGGAUUCCGAUGUCCAUGCAAUUAUUGCAGAAGAAUGAAAUUGCAUCCUCCUCGCGGCAGUCCUCUACCCUAUUCAUAACCAGUAGGAAUCUGGCCCAGUAAUGGUGUACUGUUUCCGUGGGCUCUUGCCAGAUUUGGGAUAGAUCCCUUAUAUUUGGGUGGGCGGGUGGAGUUAAAUCCGGAACCUCGCCCGAUCUGAGGCUCAGGGGCCGAGGAGUUUCCGACCUCGGAAGCUUAGGUUCUUGGAUGUUGUCCAAUGAAUCUGGCCCAUUGCUUGACUUUAGGUUCAGGGCUUGAGUGACGUCCUCCCCUCCGCGGGUAUCGGGCUUGGAGGGAUCGGGAAUUCGGACAUAACUAGUUGAGGGAGUCCUGGAUUAGGGGGUGUCCGGAUAGCCGGACUAUCAUCAUCAGCCGAACAAUCAUCGGCCGGACUAUCAUCAUCGACCGGGCUCCAAGACUAUGAAGAUACAAGAUUGAAGACUUCGUCCCGUGUCCGGAUGGGACUUUCCUUGGCGUGGAAGGCAAGCUUGGCGAUACGGAUACGUAGAUCUCCUACCAUUGUAACCAACUCUAUGUAACCCUAGCCCUCUCCGGUGUCUAUAUAAACCGGAUGGCUCUAGUCCGCAGGACACAACGACAACCAUUACAAUCAUACCAUAGGCUAGCUUCUAGGGUUUAGCCUCCUUGAUCUCGUGGUAGAUCCACUCUUGUAAACAUCCACAAUAUCAAUAUCAAUCAAGCAGGACGUAGGGUUUUACCUCCAUCAAGAGGGCCCGAACCUGGGUAAAACAUCGUGUCCCUUGUCUCCUGUUACCAUCCGCCUAGACGCACAGUUCGGGACCCCCUACCCGAGAUCCGCCGGUUUUGACACCGACAUUGGUGCUUUCAUUGAGAGUUCCUCUGUGUCGUCACCGAUAGGCUUGAUGGCCUCUUCAAUCGACAACGACGCAGUCCUGGGUGAGACUUUUCUCCCCGGACAGAUCUUCGUAUUCGGCGGCUUCGCACUGCGGGCCAACUCACUUGGCCAUCUGGAGCAGAUCGAAAGCUACGCCCCUGGCCGUCAGGUCAGGUUUGGAAGCCUAAACUUCACGGCCGAUAUCCGGGGGGACUUAAUCUUCGAUGGAUCUGAGCCACAGCCGAGCGUGCCGCGCUGUCACGAUGGGCACGACCUAACUCUGCCGCCGGACAGCACCUUGGAGGCCGCACAUGAAUCCGCUCCGACCCAUAGUCCGGAGCCGAUCGCUCAGAUCGAGGACGGAUGGCUGGACACCGCCUCGGGAGCUGCAACUUCUACGGCGAUGGAGCCAAACACUUACCUUGUCCCGCAUAAAGCUCAUGACUCCGAGGUGCCGGACUCUCUGCCGGACUCCGAACCUCCUGCGCCCCUGCCGGUCGAAUUCGACUGGGCGCCGAUCAUGGAAUUCACCGCUGCGGACAUCUUUCAGCACUCACCCUUUGGCGAUAUCUUAAAUUCGCUGAAGCAUCUCUCGCUAUCCGGAGAGCCCUGGCCGAACUACGGCCAGGAUGGUUGGGAUGCGGACGACGAAGAAAUUCAGGGCCCACCCACCACCCACUUCGUAGCCACCGUCGACGAUCUAACCGACGUACUCGACUACGACUCUGAAGACAUCGACGGUAUGGACGACGAUGCCGGAGACUAUCAAGAACCAGUGCCUAUAGGACACUGGAAGACCACCUCGUCAUACGAUAUAUAUAUGGUGGACACCCCAAAAGAUGGGGACGGCGAAGAAGCAACGGAGGCCGAUUCCUUAAAGAAACAGCCCAAGCGCCGGCAUCAGCGGCGCCGCUUUAAAUCCCACCACGGCAAGAAUAGAGAUUCCGGCACAGGAGAUAAUAACACCCCAGAAAGUGCCGAAGACAACCCCCUACAGCACGAUCCAGCGUAGGAGGAAGCAGAAGCAAUCCCUCACGAGAGGGCGGCAGACGAAGAGGUCGAGGAUGAUAAUUACUUACCUCCCUCCGGAGACGAGGCAAGCCUCGACGACGACGAAUUCGUCGUUCCUGAGGAUCCCGUCGAACAAGAGCGUUUCAGACGUAGGCUAAUGGCCACGGCAAACAGCCUAACGAAAAAGCAGCAACAGCUUCAAGCUGAUCAAGACCUACUGGCCGACAGAUGGACCAAGGUCCUCACGGCCGAAGAGUAUCAACUCGAACGCCCCUCCAAAAGUUACCCAAAACGCAAGUUGCUCCCCCGACUAGAGGAGGAAGCGUACAAACCGGCAUCACCAGCGCACAAUACGGCAGACCGACCACCUCAUGGCCGCGACAGAGAGGCAUGCAAGCCCUCCACCAAAACCGUACCCCGGCAUCGCUCAAAAAGCAUGAAGCCACGGGGGAACGCGCCGGACUUGCGGGAUAUAUUGGAGGACAAGGCAAGACAAUCCAGAUCUAUCUAUGGAUCACGUGGGCGCCCCAAGACCCACGACGAAUACCGUCGCGCCGGAUACAACUACUCCGGCCGGGCCGAACACAGCAGACAAUGCUCUCUCGAGCUACGUCGCGAUAUUGCUCAAUACAGAGGCGCCGCACACCCACUAUGCUUCACUGACGAAGUAAUGGAUCAUCAAAUCCCUGAAGGGUUUAAACCCGUUAAUAUCGAAUCCUACGAUGGCACAACAGACCCCGCGGUUUGGAUUGAGGAUUAUCUCCUCCAUAUACAUAUGGCCCGCGGCGACGAUCUUCACGCCAUCAAAUAUCUCCCGCUCAAGCUUAAAGGACCAGCUCGGCAUUGGCUUAACAGCCUGCCCACAGAGUCAAUUGGAUGCUGGGAAGACCUGGAAGCCGCAUUCCUCGACAACUUCCAGGGCACGUAUGUGUGACCACCGGACGCAGAUGACCUAAGCCACAUAAUCCAGCAGCCAGACGAAUCGGCCAGGCAAUUCUGGACACGGUUCUUGACAAAGAAAAAUCAAAUCAUCGACUGUCCGGAUGCAGAGGCCCUCGCUGCCUUCAAACAUAACAUCCGUGACGAGUGGCUGGCCCGGCACCUAGGACAGGAAAAGCCAAAAUCCAUGGCAGCCCUCACAUCACUCAUGACCCGCUUCUGUGCGGGAGAGGAUAGCUGGCUAGCUCGCAGCAACAACCUCAGCAAAAAUGCUGGCAGUCCGGAUACCAAGGACCGCAAUGGCAGGUCGCGUCAAAACAAAAACAAACGCCGCAUUAACGGCGACAGCAAUGAGGAUACGGCAGUCAACACCGGAUUCCGAGGCUCCAAGCCCAGGCAACGGAAGAAGCCAUUCAAAAGAACCACUCCGGGCCCGUCCCAUUUGGACCGAAUACUCGACCGCUCCUGUCAAAUACAUGGAACCCCCAAAAAGCGAGCUAACCACACCAACAGCGAUUGUUGGGUAUUCAAGCAGGCAGGCAAAUUAAUCGCCAAAAACAAUGACAAGGGGCUACACAGCGAUGACGAGGAAGAGACCCGGCCAUCGAACAACAGAGGACAAAAGGGAUUCCCCCCUCAAGUUCGGACGGUAAACAUGAUAUACGCAACGCAUAUCCCCAAGAGGGAGCGGAAGCGUGCACUAAGGGACGUAUACGCGAUGGAGCCAGUCGCCCCAAAAUUCAACCCAUGGUCCUCUUGCCCGAUCACUUUCGAUCGAAGAGACCAUCCGACCAGUAUCCGCCAUGGCGGAUUCGCCGCAUUGGUUUUAGACCCAAUCGUCGAUGGAUUUCACCUCACGAGAGUCUUGAUGGACGGCGGCAGUAGCCUGAACCUGCUUUAUCAGGAUACAGUGCGCAAGAUGGGCAUAGACCCUUCAAGGAUUAAAUCUACAAAGACAACCUUCAAAGGCGUCAUACCAGGUGUCGAGGCCAGUUGUACAGGCUCAGUCACACUGGAAGUGGUCUUCGGAUCCCCGGAUAAUUUCCAAAGCGAGGAGUUAAUCUUCGACAUAGUCCCGUUCCGCAGUGGCUAUCACGCUCUGCUCGGACGAACCGCGUUCGCAAAAUUCAACGCGGUGCCACAUUAUGCAUACCUUAAGCUCAAGAUGCCAGGCCCUCGUGGAGUCAUCACGGUCAAUGGAAACACGGAACUCUCCCUCCGAACGGAGGAACAUACAGCGGCUCUCGUGGCAGAAGUACAGAGCAGCCUUUUAAGGCAAUUUUCGAGUCCGGCCGUUAAACGACCGGACACGGCCAAACGCGCCCGGAGCAACAUCAACCAAGACCACCUGGCACGUUCCGAGCACGCGUAGCAAUGCGGCCUCAACCCCAGCCCUCGCACAAUUGUAAGACAAACUCUCCGCGUACAUAAUUAUGCCCUGGAGAUACCAUGGGCAUAGGGGGAGAGGCACAACCACAACAGACCCAGAGUGCGGUUCAACCACACCAGGGGCUCCCAAGUGUGUCGCUCUUUUUAUCUUUUAUUUCUCUCUUUUUCAUACAGAACUCUGUCCGGCGGCGAACCUGCCGAACUCAUGAUGCAACAGCCAAGGAGGGACAAAGGCCGCGACGAACACUCAGGUGGUCUCCAUUAUGAGCAUUAAAUUUGUUAAAUACACCAUUCCGCGGCCUACCCCUGGAGGGAGACGCCUUUAAUUCGUCCAAUCCCUUGCUUUCCGCACUAUUUGUAUCAUUCCGCACUCAUAGCAGCUCUUCUCGAAUAAAAUGCAGCACUUUUUGCCCAUAAUUGCAUUACCUUAUAUAUAUAUAUAUAUAUAUAUAUAUAGAUAUAUAUAUAGAUAUAUAUAUAUAUAUGUUCAUUUACGACAUGUUGCAUCCGUACAUUUUGGUACGGCCAAAUACACCAGGGGCUUACGUUCCCCGCAUUAUGGUGUGAUAAAGUCCGAACACUUUCACAAGUGCGGCACCCCGAACUUAUAGCAUUAUAUGAAUCGGCUCCGAAUCAUGUCUUGGGUCAAUAGUUGGGUUUGCCCGGCUCCGAUGUUUGGCACCUUAUGUUCCGUUCUAUCGGCUAAGGUAGCACUGGGAGAACCACUGCGAUGGCGCCCCGGUUGAGCCGGGUUAACGCCUCAGUGGAGAAAGCUAAAACUGACUGUCAUGAUAAGGCGAGAGACUGGUCGCUAUUCGAGAGGUCCUUUCGGGUCCUUAAAGACCUACGCCGCUUCGAGCGAAGUUCCGGAUAAUGUCCGGCGAAGGCGUGGAUAGCGCCCCGAAUUCGGUCUUCCGAAUAAUAGGGGCUUCGCCGAAAUUUAAAAUUAUAGAAUUCUAUGGCUAAGUGAGAGUGUUCAAGCACUAUAAGUCCAGUUGCCUCGUUGUGUUGAGCGCCUCCCUAGAUGGACCCAAAAAUGGGAACAAGAGCGCUCAAGUUUAUCCCGAACACCCCAGCACUCGUGGCAUGGGGGCUGAAGCCGGCGACUUGCCAUCUCUCAGAUUUAAUAAACGGCCGCACAGAAGGUAAUAUUUUAAAUUAACAAGCGUUGCUUAGCGCAUAUGAACAAAGUUUUCAGCGCACAGGAUAACACAUUGCGAAUUUACUCAAUAAUUACAUCCCUGGGGCACUCAUCCGCAAUUUUGCGGGCACCCUUCAGGACAGUCUUAUAGUACAUCUCGGGCGUACGAUAUUCCUUGCCCACUGGUGGCGCGUCAGUGAUUAGCUUCUCCGCAUCCAGCUUGCCCCAAUGCACCUUUGUGCGGGCAAGGGCCCGACAAGCACCUUCAAUACAGGCGGAGCGCUUGAUAACCUCCACCCAGGGGCACGCAUCCACCAACCGUCGCACGAGACCGAAGUAGCUCCCAGGCAUGGCCUCUCCAGGCCACAGCCGGACUAUGAGGCCCUUCAUGGCCUGCUCGGCCACCUUGUGGAGCUCGACCAGCUGCUUCAGCUGGUCGCUAGUGGGCACCGGAUGGCCGGCCUCAACAUACUGAGACCAGAAGACCUUCUCCGUUGAGCUCCCCUCCUCGGCUCAGUAGAAUGCGGCGGCAUCAGACACGCUACGAGGCAGAUCUGCAAACGCCCCUGGAGAGCUCCGAAUUCGGGUAAGUAACACGUAAUUUACAUUCACAUGCUUGCUUUGCAUAAAAAUGCCUUACCCGCCGCUAUCUUCCUCACCAACUCAAUCUCCUGAAGGGACUUAUGGGCAUCGGCCUUGGCAGUCUUGGCACUCUCGAGUCUUUGAGUCACGCUCCAAACUCUCAUGCUUUUCCGUGAGAGCCUGGAGCUCUUGCUGAACCACCGCCACCCGCGCCUCCUGCUUUUCUCGCUCUGCCCGUUCCGCGGCCGCAUUGCGUUCGGCCGCAGACACGGCCUCCUUCAGGGUCGCCACCUCGUUCGUGGCCCCUGCAAUACCCAUGUUAUCCUUGUUAUUUUUUGUUGCAACCUAAAUCCUUUUCUAUAAGGUACAAGUUCAAAGUGGUGUUACUCACCUUCUUUGUCCUGGAGCUGCUUCUUGGUGCGGCCGAGCUCUUGCUCGGACCGCUCGAGCUCCUGCUUCAAAGCACCGACCUCCGCAGUCACUGCGGCAGAGGUCAGCAGCGCAGCCUGCAACCCAUAUUGACAUAAUUUUUUAGCAACCCUGCGUAUAUCUUCUUUUUUUCAGAUCCUCAGUCCGGCUUUUCUUUCCGAACACCGAACCGAGCAUCAGGGGCUACUGUCUAUGCGGUAUUACAUUGCAUAUUUUUUUAACUUCUUACCUCAAAGCCUGAUAGAAGGCUACUGCACGCUUCGGUCAGCCCGCUCUUGGCAAGCUGUACCUUUUGAAUCACCGCACUCAUAAUAGUGCGGUGUUCUUCCUCGAUGGAAGCGCUCUGCAGCGCCUCCAACAAAUUGUCCGGCGCCUCCGGUUGGACGGAAGCCGCCAGCGUCACGGUCUUUCCCUUCAUGCGAAGGGGCCGCCGGCCGGACUCCGGAACCACUGCGGGUUCUGAUAUGGAGUCCGGCGCAAAGUCCGGGAGGACGCCUUGUGGCGCCUCCGGAGCCUCCCCUGAUGGGUCCCUUCUUGGGAUCCCACCUUGCAUCCUCGGUGUCACGAGGGGUGGAGGCGGUCGGGAUGGAAUCUACAUCUGACGGAGCCAACGACCCGCUCGAUGAAGCGGGGAGAUCAUCAUUGGCCGGACUACAGGCAGCAUGCGGCAUCAGAAUGACACUAUGUGACACAGAAAAAGAAAUCAUAAAUCACUCAGGAAUCCGGAUACUUACGAUCUCACUGGAGGCCUGGCCCUUGAAGGCCAUUCUUCCUCGCCAAUGUUGAUGUUGGCGGAGCUGUCCGGGGGAAUAGUCCUUCCCCUCUUGGACCCUUCGGCCUCCCCUGUUGGGGAAGCCUUCCUCUUCCUCUCUCCCUCCUCUGGGAGAGAGUCCUCUUUCUCCUCCUCGUUUUCAGGGGAGGAGUCCGCCCCGGAGUCGUCGGACACCUGAAAACGGGAACUCUUUCGAGCACCCGUGGCCUCCUUCUUGGCCUUCUUCUCCGGCACCACGUGCGGUGCCGGAACCAGCAGCCUCGCUAGAUGGGCGUCUACUGGGUUUUCUGGCAUGGGAGCCAGGCAGAUAAUCUACUCCGCCUUCCUCAUCCAGUCCUUUCAAAGGAAAAGGGGAAAUUAAAACCCGCAUAGAGUCAAACUAUGAAAAACAAGUGUCCCGUAAAGGGGUAGAAUCACUUACCUCGUCGGCUUGGCGCUGCGAGCGAAAUCUGCGAUCUUCAGUCGCGGAUGUGGGGGCUUCGGCGCCCUUAAAGAGCACCCUCCAGGCGCCUUUGUACGUCGUGUCGAAGAGCCCGCUCAGCGCUUGGUGCUGUUCCAGAUUGAACUCCCACAGAUUGAAUGCACGCUCUUGGCAUGGGAGAAUCCGGUGGACGAGCAUGACCUGGACCAUGUUAACCAGCCUGAGCUUCUUCACCAGCUUCUGGAUACAGGCUUGGAGUCCCGUCAGCUCCUCCGAACUACCCCACAGCAAGCCCUUCUCUUUCCAGGAGGUGAGCUGCGUGGGGAUACCAGAUCUGAACUCGGGGGCCGCCGCCCACUUAGGGCCGCGCGGCUCGGUGAUAUAGAACCACCCCGAUUGCCACCCCUUGACGGAUUCCACGAAGGCCCCUUCAAACCAAAGGACAUUGGGCAUCUUGCCCAACAUGGCGCCUCCGCACUCCGCUUGAGUGCCCUUCACUACCUUCGGCUUGACAUUGAAGGUCUUGAGCCACAAGCCAAAGUGGGGCUGGAUGUAGAGGAAGGCCUCGCACACGACGAUAAACGCCGAGAUGUUGAGGAUGAAGUUCAGCCCCAGAUCAUGGAAAUCCAGGCCGUAGUAGAACAUGAGCCCCCGGACAAAGGGGUAAAGUGGAAAACCCAGUCCGCGGAGGAAGUGGGGAAGAAAAACGACCCUCUCAUGGGGCCUGGGGGUGGGGAUGAGCUGCCCCUCGUCGGGCAGCCUGUGCGCGAUGUCGCCGGACAGGUAGCCGGUGCUGCGCAGUCUUUCGAUGUGCUCCUCCGUAACGGAGGAGGUCAUCCACUUGCCUCCCGCUCCGGACAUAACUAGGGAAGGUUGAGACGAGAUGUGCAGGCUUGGACGCUGGAGCUCGAGUGCGCAAAGAUGGAUAAGCAAAGGAGGAAGAAGGCGUAGGUGAAAAAGUGAAUCAUUAUCCCUUAUAUGGGCGGGUGAAGUCUACGCGUCCCCCACCGGCCUGGUAAAACUCGCUUAUCCCCCAAGCGUCACCAUCAAUGGCGCGGUUGGGUUACCCACGUCUGUAUUGAUGAGAAUCCCGGAUUAAGGGGGAACACGAUCUCUGCUUCGACAAGACGUGCCAAGGAAACCGCUUCGCUAAAUGCGCUGAGGUGGUAGAGUAAGAAAUGAUUCAAGUAAUGGCUUGGUAGUGGCGUGACGUCAUGCCGCAAAAAACGUCAGCAGAUUGAACUUGUGUAUAUAUUAUUCUCUCUACGGUGGAAUGUGGAAUUUAUUUUGCAGAGCCGGACACUAUCCUGGUGUUCACAAUCUUCUUUCAUUCGGAGGAGGAACCCGCCUUGCAAUGCCAAGCAAUAUACGCGUCGGACUUAUCGUCAUUGAAGCCUGGUUCAGGGGCUACUGAGGGAGUCCUGGAUUAGGGGGUGUCCGGAUAGCCGGACUAUCAUCAUCAGCCGAACUAUCAUCGGUCGGACUACAUCAUCGACCGGACUCCAAGACUAUGAAGAUACAAGAUUGAAGGCUUCGUCCCGUGUCCGGAUGGGACUUUCCUUGGCGUGGAAGGCAAGCUUGGCGAUACGGAUACGUAGAUCUCCUACCACUGUAACCGACUCUAUGUAACCCUAGCCCUCUCCGGUGUCUAUAUAAACCGGAUGGCUCUAGUCCGUAGGACACAACAACAACCAUUACAAUCAUACCAUAGGCUAGCUUCUAGGGUUUAGCCUCCUUGAUCUCGUGGUAGAUCCACUCUUGUAAACAUCCACAAUAUCAAUAUCAAUCAAGCAGGACGUAGGGUUUUACCUCCAUCAAGAGGGCCCGAACCUGGGUAAAACAUCGUGUCCCUUGUCUCCUGUUACCAUCCGCCUAGACGCACAGUUCGGGACCCCCUACCCGAGAUCCGCCGGUUUUGACACCGACACUAGUCCUUAAGAUAGAUGAAGGCUUGCCGCAUUGUUCCUCCACCACUGCAAUGUGGUGGGUGACCUGGGGAGAGUUAAUCUCUCUCAGAUCGGGUUUAAGCCCAAUCUGAUCGUAGUCUGUAGCGACUCCCAGGGCGGCAAUGCGAUCCAAGAGCUCGUUUAAGGAAGAGAGCUCCAUCGGAUCUAGAUGCUCGGCGAGUUCCGAGUUGAUGUGGAGUUUGCUUUCGAUGACCCGAGAAGUCAUCGUCGGUGCGGUGGACGAACAGGCGGUCAUAAGAAAACCGCCUAGCCGGAGAGUUUGGCCGAUAGCCAAAGCUCCUUUAGCCACAGUGCCAUCUUUAAAGACGGGAUGAGGCAUCCUUCCUAAUGGCGACGGCACAGAGGAACUCUCAAUGAAAGCACCAAUGUCGGUGUCAAAACCGGCGGAUCUCGGGUAGGGGGGCCCGAACUGUGCGUCUAGGCGGAUGGUAACAGAAGACAGGGGACACGAUGUUUUUACCCAGGUUUGGGCCCUCUCGAUGGAGGUAAAACCCUACUCCUGCUUGAUUAAUAUUGAUGAUAUGGGUAGUACAAGAGUAAAUCUACCACGAGAUCAGAGAGGCUAAACCCUAGAAGCUAGCCUAUGGUAUGAUUGUUGUUCGUCCUAUGGACUAAAACCCUCCGGUUUAUAUAGACACCGAAAAGGGCUAGGGUUACACAGAGUCGGUUACAAUGGGAGGAGAUCUUCAUAUCUGUGUCGCCAAGCUUGCCUUCCACGCCAAGGAAUGUCCCAUCCGGACACGAGACGAAGUCUUCAAUCUUGUAUCUUCAUAGUCCGGGAGUCCGGCCAAAGGUUAUAGUCCGGUUAUCCGGACACCCCCUAAUCCGGGACUCCCUCAAUGGCCUUUGCCAUUAGGCACUUGUGAGUGUUGCCCUUGUAAUCUUUCAUGUAGUUGUAGGUGACCACGUCACCACUCUUGUUUACUAACCUCAAGGUGUUUUGAGAGUCUUGAGCAACUCUGGCAACACCACUAACAUCAUCCGGAUCGGAUUCUUCUUGAAAAACCAUUGCUUUUCCAUCUCUCUUCUUGAGCUUGGAGUUCAAAGGAUUUGGCAACUUCUUCUUGGGAAAGGUCUUGGGAAACCUUGGUUUAUCCUCUCUCUUCUCAUAAGGGCACUCGUUGGAGAAGUGGUUGGUUUCUUCACAGUUGUAGCAUUUUCUUACUUUCUUCUUUGGAAAUCUUCCCUUGAAUUUUCCCGCGCUAAACUUCUUGACAAAGAGAUCCAUGUCUUCAUAUGAAGGGCCCUCAUCGGAUUCAAUCUCAUCACCAUCUUCAUCAUCAUCAUCAUCUUCUUCUUCUUCACUUUGCUGAUCUUCACAUACAUGCUUGGCCUUCAAUGCAAGAUUGAUCUUUGAUGAUGGGGAACCAUGCAUGUCAAGAUGUUUUGUGGCAUUAGCCUUUGACUCUUCAAAUAGUUGAAAGGUGGAUAUGAUGUCAUCUGUAGUCAUUUCCUUGAAGGUAUGGUGUUGUAUUAUGUCCCACACCAUUUGAUGGUGAUAUGGGGCAAGAGCAUGAAGCAACUUAUCCACAAGGAAACGCUUAGUCAUGUUGAAUCCAUCUUGGGUCUUGUCACACUCACAUGACUCAAUUUCAGGAGUGACAGUCAUGAGACGCUCAUGGAAUUGAUUGGGGGUUUCACCUUUCUCCAUACAAAAGUUUUGCAAUUGCCCCUUGGCAAUUUCAUAUUGAGCACUCCGGAGGGUAGAGGUGCCAGUCUUGGAUCUUAUGAUACUUUCCCAUAGUUCCUUGGCACAUGUGAUGUGUAUGAACGGUCUCCUUUGCUUUUCAGCCAUACCUCUCCUUAUACACAUGAUUGCAGUGUCAUUGAGGUUCUUGUCAUAUAUUUCUCUUGGUGUGGGGUUCUUUGGAUCAACCACAUGAUAUCCAUACUCAAUGAUCUCCAGCAUCUCAUCAUUUCCAUGUCGAAGAUGAUCCUGCAUAGCAACUCUCCACAAAGCAAAAUCGGAAGUGGCAGUAAGUAAAGGAGGUUUGCCUUGAGGAUUAUAUCUUGGUUUCUCAACCCGAGGUCUUGCAUAAAGCCAAUGAACACUAGCGUGUUCAUUGCUAGGAGGUUGUUGACCAAGUGAUGAAGUAGGCACAGUUGGCCUCGAACCCACACCACCCGAGAGUGGUGCAAGCACCGUGGACAACGUGGCUAAUCUCAUUUGGACCAAGGCCUCAAGAGAAGCAUCAUGCUCCUCUUUUGGCUUAGCAAGGGCCCGUUCUAGAUCCUCGGACAUAAAGGACUUGACUUCAGAAGAAGCCUCGCCUUUAUCCUUAGGAUCUACAACGAGGGGAGUCCCAUCUGGGUUCAUCUCGCUCUAGGGUGGUUAAGCCACAAGAAUAGAGCAUGAGGCUCUGAUACCAAUUGAAAGGACUAAGAUGGACCUAGAGGGGGGCUGAAUAGGUACAAUUACAAAAUUUUAAUUAUUACUUAGCAAUUUUAGGCAAUAAUGCGGAAUAUGAAGAUGAGCCUAAUAAUUGCAAGUGAGUACUAAGUACUAAGCAAGCAACACAAGCACGUAAGUAAGCAAGCACAAUAUGAUGUACGUAAGUGCAAAGAGACAAGUAACCACAAGUAGAGAGUUAGGGUUAGGAAUAACCGCAACUCCGGGAGACGAGGAUGUAUGCCGCUGUUCACUUCCUUGGAGGGAAGCUAGUCACCGUUAGAGAGGUGGAUGUUACCACGAAGGCACACCAACACCACGAAGGCUCACCCUAUUCUCCCUUUGAGACAACACCACGGAGGCGUCUCUCAACCACUAGUGGUAGACCUUGGGGUGGUCUCCAAACCCUCACAAACUUUUCUGAGGGUAAUCACAAAGUUCGAUUCCUCUCCGAAUGACUCCUACCGCCUAGGAGUCUCCAACCUCCAAGAGUAACAAGAACGAUGGGGGAAAGCUCAAAACUUGCUCAAAUCACGAAUUCCUUUGGUGAAAAGAGGGGGGAGGAGUGGAUCUAUAACUUGAUUGGAGAACUUCUCUCAAAUGCUCCUAGAACACUUGGGAAUCUAGGAUUUGGUGUAGGUGAAUGAGAGAGAGAGAGAGUGAGGAGUGUUCUUUGUAGGCUCAAAGUGAAUGGUCAGCCUUAUCCCAUGGAAGGGAAAGGCAUAUAUAUAGUGGGUGAGAAAAGGUGACCGUUUGGGAUACAUAAGUGCACAGGAUAGGUCGGACGUCCGGAGAACAUCGGACGUCCGGAGGCACAAAUAGGUCCGGACGUCCGACAGUCAUCGGAUGACCAGCGGCUGUGAACCUGUGAGCCACGACCUAGUACACAGGACACGGACGUCCAAGACAGGCCGGACAUCCGGACCCCGGACGACCGGAGAGUCCGGAAAUCCAUAAAAAUGGUCCUGUUGUGAAAGUACCGGAUGUCCGGAGAGUUUCGGCCAUCCGUAAAAACCACUCUAUAAAGGAACACCGGACGACUGGAGGGAGCCGGACGUCCGGGCAGCUGAGAGGGACCGGACGUCCGUAGAGCCCGGACAUCCGGAGGCAAAUUAUAGGAACAGUGGAUUUUGAGCAAGUUUUUCACUAGAUCCAACGAUCCCCUCUUAAUAGUGCGGGAUCCCUAUACUCAAGAACAAACCAUAAACAAAGUCAAUGUCUUGUAUCUCCAUUCUUGAGUUAUAUGCUUUUUGUCCCUAGUCAUGAUCCAUGCACACGGUCUUUGAGACAUAAUCCUGAGAUAUGCUUGAUAAACAUGAUUAGUCCCUAGCAUAUGUGUUGUCAUCAACAUCAAAAUAUGAUUAAGGGCAUGAUUGCACUUUCACCCGUUCCGGCACCCUGCCGGAGGGGGAAGCCAUCACCGGUGGCCAUCUUCAUCAUCUCGGCGCUCUCCAUGACGAGGAGGGAGUAGUUCACCCUCUAGGCUAAGGGUAUGUACCAGUAGCUAUGUGUUUGAUCUCUCUCUCUCGUGUUCUCUCUAUGGCACGAUCUUGAUGUAUCGCGAGCUUUGCUAUUAUAGUUGGAUCUUAUGAAGUUUCUCCCCAUCUACUCUCUUGUGAUGAAUUGAGUUUUCCUCUUGAAGUUAUCUUAUCGGAUUGAGUCUUUAAUGAUUUGAGAACACUUGAUGUAUGUCUUGCUGUGCUUAUAUGUGGUGACAAUGGGAUAUCAUGUGCCACUUGAUGUAUGUUUUGGUGAUCAACUUGCGGGUUCCGCCCAUGAACCUAUGCAUAGGGGUUGGCACACAUUUUUGUCUUGACUCUCCGGUAGAAACUUUGGGGCACUCUUUGAAGUACUUUGUGUUGGUUGAAUAGAUGAAUCUGAUAUUGUGUGAUGCAUAUCGUAUAAUCAUACCCAUGGAUACUUGAGGUGACAAUGGAGUAUUUAGGUGACAUUAGGGUUUUUGUUGAUUUGUGUCUUAAGGUGUUAUUCUAGUAUGAACUCUUGAAUAGUUUGAUCCGAAAGAAUAACUUUGAGGUGGUUUCGUGCCCUACCAUAAUCUCUUCGUUUGUUCUCUGCUAUUAGUGGCUUUGGAGUGACUCUUUGUUGCAUGUUGAGGGAUUGUUAUAUGAUCUAUCUAUGUUAUUAUUGUUGAGAGAACUUGCACUAGUGAAAGUAUGAACCCUAUGCCUUGUUUCCUAUCAUUGCAAUACCGUUUACGCUCACUUUUAUCAUUAGUUACCUUGCUAUUUCUAUAAUUUCAUAUUACAAAUACCCAUAUCUACUAUCCAUAUUUCACUUGUAUCACUAUCUCUUCGCCGAACUAGUGCACCUAUACAAGUUACCAUUGUAUUGGGUGUGUUGGGGCCACAAGAGACUCUUUGCUAUUUGGUUGCAAGGUUGCUUGAGAGAGACCAUGUUCAUCCUACGCCUCCCACGGAUUGAUAAACCUUAGGUCAUCCACUUGAGGGAAAUUUGCUACUGUCCUACAAACCUGUGCACUUGCAGGCCCAACAACGUCUACAAGAAGAAGGUUGUGUAGUAGACAUCAAGCUCUUUUCUGGCGCUAUUGCCGGGGAGGCUAGGUAAGCGGCACUCACACCCCGUCAACUAAGCUCUUUUGUGGCGCCAUUGACGGGGAGGUGAGUGCUUGAAGGUAUAUCUUUAGAUCUUGCAAUCGAAUCUUUUUGUUUCUUGUUUUAUCACUAGUUUAGUCUAUAAAAGAAAACUAAAAAAUGGAUUUAAGUUUGUCUCAUACACUUCAUCUUUUUAAUAUCUUUCGUGAGUAUGAUGGAAAGGAAAAUUGUGCUCAAGUGCUAGAAGAAGAAGUCUAUAAAAUAUUUGGUACUAAAUCUUUGAAUGAUGAGCAUGAUUGCAAUGUUGUUAGUAUGAAUUCCUUGAAUAUACAUGAUGCUAAUGAUAUGCAAAGCCACAAGCUUGGGGAUGCUAUGUUUGAUGAAGAUGAUAUGUUUAGUCCCCCAAGUUUUUAUGAGCAAAUUUAUUAUGAUGAAAGCAUGCUUCCUAUUUAUGAUGAUUAUAUUGAUGAAAGUGGGUUUGGAAGAGUGUCAACUUUAGGAAGUAGUGAUCCCACUAUUUUGGAGGAUGUUGAAUCUUAUGGUGAUGAACAUGAAAGUGGAUUUGGAAGAGUGUCAACUUUAUUUAGUGAUGAUUCCACUAUUUCGGAAGAGGUUCCAAUUGAUUAUGAGAACAAAGUUGCUACCUAUGAUGAUUAUUGUGAUGACUUGUAUGCUAUUAAGAAUAAUGAUAACCAUGAAACUUGUCAUCAUGAUUUGUAGGACCAACAACGUCUACAAGAAGAAGGUUGUGUAGUAGACAUCAGUACUUCAGGGGCGCCACUGGUGGUGUUGAGCAGCCCGGACAGCAGCCCCCAGCACAGCCCCCAGCGUAAGUUCAUUACCCUCCCCUCGUCGGCAUGUGCUAAGGGUAUGACACUCUGGUGCUGACCUUGCCGGGUGUGCAGGAGGAGAGCAGCAGCAGGAGGAGCCGCAGAGGGCUACUCCCAACACGCCGCCCCAAGGGGCAUCUCCGGUGAGGGCACCAAGCGCUGAGCCCAUGCACAUGGAGGAGGAGGAGGAGAACCUGGGGACUGGUGGCUUCGCCUCGGCGCCAAAUGCUGGCGGAGAGGGGACCUCUGUUUCCCAGCCUGGGACUGGUAAGUCGUUCUCCUUUCGACCAUGCUUUUUCUCUUCUCUUCCUUGGUCUUGGUCUUGCCUCACCCCCUUCUUUGGUGUCCAGGUCCCUCCUCGGUGAACCCAGUGAACCCAGAGAACGUGCACGCCAUCAUUGAGGAUGUCGCCAAGGCCGCCGAGGUGGACGCCGAGAAGAUUGCCGCUGACGAGGCCGCCAAGGGCGCUGCUGAGGACACCGCAAAGGGGCCUGCCGGGGAGGCCGACAAGGCCGCCGCUGAGGAGGCUGGCAAGGGGCCUGCUGGGGAGGCCGACAAGGCCGCUGCCGAGGAGGAGGGGAGGUAGCUGAUGACCAGCCUUCUUCCUCUGCUGCUUCCGGCUCCGGCAAGUACCUGAGGGUGGGUGACGACUUGUUCGUCCACCUCCCAGGUGAGUCCAGCACCAGGACACCCGUCGAGGGAGAGGUGUUUGACAAUGAAGUGCUUGCCGUUGUCGGGCUCGAGGUCGUCGAUGAGCCGAGCGUUGGUGGCGACGGCUCCCAGGAGGAGGAGCUGCUCCAGGCCAUGGGUGCCAGCUUCCGGAAACUCUAGGCGCUCCACUGUGCCCAUUUGGACAAGGCCAAGUCCAGGACGGCGGUGGUGGAGAAGGCGGAGCCGGACCUCCAGGAGCGUGUCGGCGAGAUGCAGGACUGGUUCCGCCAGGCCUAAGACGAGCUGAAGGAAGCCCAGGGCAAGCUGGCCAAGCGUGACGUGGAGCUCACCAUGAAGCUGGCUAACGUCGAGAAGGCCCACGAGGCGGCGAAGAACUUGGCCGCCGCCGCCGAAGCCGCCGGGACCCAGCACGAGGCCGCACUGAAAUCCCAGGAGGAGGACCUUGCCAUGCGCGAGGAGAAGCUCGCCGCCACGCUCCGCGGCAAGGAUGAAGAGGUGGAGAAGCUUGUCGCGGCAUGGACCCAGGAGCUAGAGCACAAGCACAAAGAGGCGCUCGACGCCCAGGCCCUGGCCCACGGCAACAGGGUGAAGGAGUUGGAGGCGGAGCGGGAUGUCCUGGCGAAACGAGCCUCAGAGCUGUCCUCGGAAAAGAACACGCUCAACGAGGCCCUAGUUAAGGCACAAUCCGAGGUCCUCAGCAGAGCUGAGCAGCUUUCCACCACCAACGACACCAUGAAGGACCUGAAGCUCAAGCUGGAGGGCAUCGAGGGGGCGCUCGAGGAGGCCAAAACCCGGGAGGGGGGCCUGACUCAACGCUUGGCGGCGGAGGAGCAGCUCCGGGCAAACGUGGCCGCCAAUCUCAAGGACCAGGUCUAUGGCGAGAAACGUUGGAUCGGCCGCCUUAUCGCUGUUGCCAAUAGAAUCACCGAGCAACUAGCCAAGAUGAGGGUGACAGACGUGAGGUAUGCCACGGAACCAAAUCUGAGCCCCAACGCCAGUCUGACCAUCUUUUUUGAGAGCGUCCCCAGGGCCCUGGAGCAGCUCCACUCCAACCGGGCGAGUUCCUUGGCCGACGAGGCUCGGAUGCUUUGCCAGGGUGCCAUGACCAAGGUUCUCACCAAGCUGGCGCACUGGAACCCUAGCCUCGACUUCGAUGCCUCACUGGACAGCUUGCCAGAUGAUGAGGACCUUGUAGUGCUCCAGGAGCGCAUCGAGCCCGUCAUCAGCCUCAUCAGCGGGAUCCAGAGGCUGGAGAGCCAGCGCCGAGACUAGACGCCCCGUCUCUUGCUGCCGCUACAGGUUCAUGACCAAGACAAUUCAUAUCUUUAGUUAGAACCGCAUCAACAAUUGGUGUAACUUAACUCUGCAGUACUCUUGAUAUUACACAUGCCGGCGCGUAACUGGGUAGGCUUGCCGGCGCGUAAACCCGGGGCAGCGUCUUGGGGACGGAUCCCCAUUGGCCUAUCAAGUCUGCGUGCUGUCGGGCGAACCACCUUACCGCCCUUAGCGCGGCGCCCGAACUAUCGAGCUUGACUCGAGUCAGAAUCGAGGGUGUUACCAAGUGCGGAAGGCUACCCCACCGCACUUGAUGCGGCUGCUUGAGCUGUUGAGCGGACUCGAAACAGAACAAAGGCGUUGCCAAUUGCGGGAGGGCCCCUUUGCGUGCAGGUUUUCCAUACAUAGGCAAGAUCUUCGAGGACGAUAACCUUAUGUAUAGAAAGGAAAUAACUCAAGGCUCUGAACGACUUAGCUUUUUUGUUGCCGCGCUGGCGUCCUUCGCGCUCGCAGGCGGCGCCAUUUUCUCCUGACUGUCUCCUUCGCGGGAGCCAUGGCGAUGAAGAACUGCUAGGGCAACUACUAGACCAGAUUCUCACAAUUGCGCCCCCUACCUGGCGCGCCAAAGAUGUCGGUGGGAAACAACACCUAUGGGAUCACAAGAAUCCCUACUACGGUUGUCGGGCGCAGGGUUGUGAGAAGAGCAGGAUUAGUAAUUAGCACGAGGCUCGUUUAUCCAGGUUCGGGUCGCAAGGAUGAGUAAAACCCUAGUCCUUCUUUGGUGUAUGUAUUGAGUGUUCUUGAGCUCUUGAACUAGCUACGGGGGCUGCGUGGUUCAAAAGAGCCGAAUCCCUCUCCAGUAUGCCAUGGGCCUCCUUUUAUAGUCGAAAAGUGCUGCCACAGUGGCACACAGGAGGUGGAAAGGCCUACAGUGCUAUGAGUUUAUUGCUCGUAUUACAGGACAAGACGCAUUUAAUGUGUAGCUUAGGUGUCUGAGGGAGUCCCGGACUAGGGGGUGUUUGGAUAGCCGAACUAUCAUCAUCGGCCGGACUCCAAGACUAUGAAGAUAGAAGAUUGAAGACUUCGUCCCGUGUACGGAUGGGACUUUCCUUGGCGUGGAAGGCAAGCUUGGAGAUACGGAUAUGUAGAUCUCCUACCUUUGUAAUCGACUUUGUGUAACCCUAGCCCUCUCCGGUGUCUAUAUAAACUGGAUGGCUGUAGUCCAUAGGACGAACAACAAUCAUACCAUAGGCUAGCUUCUAGGGUUUAGCCUCCUUGAUCUCGUGGUAGAUCUACUCUUGUAACCCACAUCAUCAAUAUUAAUCAAGCAGGAUGUAGGGUUUUACCUCCAUCAAGAGGGCCCGAACCUGGGUAAAAACAUCGUGUCCCUCGUCUCCUGUUACCAUCCGCCUAGACGCACAGAUCGGGACCCCCUACCCGAGAUCCGCCGGUUUUGAGACCGACAUUGGUGCUUUCAUUGAGAGUUCCUCUGUGCUGUCGCGAUCAGGAAGGAUGCCUUUUCCCGUCUUUAAAGACGGCACCGUCGUCAAGAGAGCUUUGGCCGCCGGCCAAACUAUCCGGCUAGGUGGUUUUCUUAUGACUGCCUGUUCGGCCACCGCUCCGACGAUGACCUCUCAGGUCAUCAAAAGCGAUCUUCACGUCAGCUCGGAAUUCGCCGAGCAGUUAGAUCCGAUUGAGCUCUCCUCUGUAAACGAGCUCUUGGAUCGCAUCGCCGCCCUGGGAGUCGCUACAGACUACGAUCAGAUUGGGCUUAAAACCGAUCUGAGAGAGAUUAACUCUCCUCAGGCUACCCACCAUGUUGUCGUGGUAGAGGAACAAUGCGGCAACCCUUCUUCUACUUUGAAAACCAACUAUGUCCGGAUUCCCGAUCCCUCCAAGCCGGAUUCCCGUGGAGGGACGGACGCUAAUCAAAUACUGAACUUAGAGUCAGGCAUCGGACUAGAUUCAUCGGAAAGCAUCCAGCAAGUCAAGCUUCCAAAUCCGGAAACUUCUUGGCCUUUGAGCCUCAGAUCGGGCGGGAUUCCGAACUUGAUUCCACCCGCCCACCCAAACAUAAGCAAUCUAUCUCAAAUACGGCAGGAGCCCGAUGAAACAGUACAUCAUUACUGGGCCAGAUUCCUCCUGGUUAUGAACAGGAUAAAGGACUGCUGCGAAGAAAGCGCGAUUUCAAUUUUCUACAACAAUUGCACGGACAAGGGAAUCAUGAACGCCUUAAGUCGUCGCGAAGUUACACGCUUCGUCGACCUAGCGACCAUCGUACAAAAAUACUGUGCGGUGGAGAGUGCCAGGAACACCGAAACUAGGUUUUGGGACAGUCCGACCUUGACUACAACCCUAGUCCAAAGUAAAAGGGUGUGCCAUACUCAAAUACCUGGGUUAAAAACCAAAAAGUAAAAAAACCCUAAAGGGCAUGGAACCGUACUGGAGGGCUGGCUCAACGGACCCUACAAAAUCCACAGUACGGAGGGCGCCACUCCAACACACAGCCUUCGAGCAUGUUGGAUACUAUGGCAGGUGGCCAAAAGUGGCGAAGGCUUUUUAGCCCCAGGCAAACAGCCCAGCAGUACCGAUACGGUAUUAACAGUCUUCGAGACUUCCGCAUCAAAUAACAAGCGAAAACGAACAAUCCGCGGCCUCGCCGAAGUCUACCAAGUAGCAACAACAAAUCCAUGGAGUGACACGGCUAUCACCUUCAACGCCAGCGACAAACCUAAAUUCCGAACAGCUAGAGCACCAGCCAAACUGGUCCUCAGUACAAUAGUGGACGGCUUUCGCCUUACCAAGGUACUCAUGGAUGGCGGCAGCGGAUUAAACCUCAUCUACGAGGAAACCCUUCAAAAAAUGGAUAUUGACUGGAGCCGCAUCGAGCGAAGCAGCACAACCUUUAGAGGGAUAAUCCCUAGUCGAGAAGUACGCUGCACAGGAACAAUCACACUAGAUGUAGUGUUCGGCUCACCGGACAAUUACAGGUCCGAGGAGGUCAUGUUCCAAGUGGCCCCAUUCGGCAGCAGAUAUCACGCUUUGUUAGGGCGAGAGGCAUUCACAAUCUUCCAAGCUAUACCCCACUACGGGUACAUGAAGCUCAAAAUGCCCGGACCCAAUGGGAUAAUCACUCUUGCGAGUGAUCCAGAUACAGCACUCUGCGCUGAAAAUAAGACAGCCGCACUGGCCCUAGAGGCAUUGUCCGAAGCCCUAGCGGCAGAGGAACUAACUACGCUGCGCUCCACGGUGGAUAGGGAUGAUGUGAUCCUCGAUAAGAGGUCGAAGUCCACCUCUUUUAAACCAGUAGACGAAAUAGUCAAAUUUCAGGUCCAUCCAACGGACCCCACAAAGACGGCCUCCAUUGGGGCACAAUUAAGUCCUGAUGUCGAAGCCCCACUACGAGAAUUCCUUCUGGAAAAUUGGGACAUUUUUGCCUGGCACCCUUCAGACAUGCCAGGAAUCCCACGCAGGCUGGCAGAGCACAGCCUAAACAUCCUAAAAGGAUUCAAGCCGGUCAAACAAGCUCUUCGGCGAUUUUCCGAACCUAAAAGACAGGCAAUGGGAGAGGAGCUAGCCAAACUCUUAGAAGCCGGAUUCAUCAGAGAUAUAAAACAUCCGGACUGGCUAGCCAAUCUAGUAAUGGUACCAAAAAAGGACAAAUCCUGGCGCCUCUACGUCGAUUUUAAAGACCUUAACAAAGCCUGUCCAAAGGACCCUUUUCCCCUCCCUCAUAUCGACCAAAUCAUCGAUGCUACCGCAGGGCACGAUUCAUUGUGCUUCCUCGACGCAUACUCUGGAUACCAUCAAAUCAAGAUGGCGGAAAAAGACCAGGUAACAACAUUCAUUACUCCAUACGGGCCAUUCUGCUUCAACACAAUGCCCUUCGGACUCAAAAAUGCCGGCGCAACAUAUCAGCGCAUGAUUCAAACAUGUCUGGCUACCCAGAUAAGCAAAACAGUAGAGGCAUACAUAGACGAUGUGGUCGUCAAGACCAAACACGUCGAAACUCUAGUAGAAGACUUGAGGGUGACAUUCGACAACCUCCAAGCAUAUGACAUUAAGCUCAACCCAGAAAAAUGCGUUUUCGGCGUACCAGCCAGAAAGCUCUUGGGCUUCAUCGUAUCCGGUAGAGGAAUUGAAGCAAACCCGGCCAAAAUCCGGGCUCUGUCACAAUUGGAUAUUCCAAAGGACCUCAAGCAAAUACAAAAACUAACCGGAUGCGUAGCGGCCUUAAGUCGCUUCAUCUCCCGUUUGGGAGAAAAGGCUCUGCCCCUCUACCGCCUCCUCCGGCGCACCGAAUAUUUCGAAUGGACGGAUGCUGCCACAGCCGGACUCGAAGAAAUAAAGGCCAUACUGGCAACAAAUCCGGUCCUGGCCGCGCCCAACCUGGGCGAACCUAUGUUAUUAUAUAUCGCAGCAACACAUCAAGUUGUCAGCGCGGUACUCGUCGUCGAGCGAGAGACAGAAGGGCACAGAUUCCCUCUUCAAAAACCAGUGUACUACGUAUCCACUAUUCUAACGCCAUGCAAGUCCCAGUACCCACAUUAUCAAAAGAUAGCGUAUGCGGUGUUCAUGGCAUCCCGGAAGCUGUGACACUACUUUCAAGAGUGUUCCAUAACGGUGGCCUCCGAAGUACCUCUCAACGAUAUUAUAAACAAUUGCGACGCAACAGGCAGGAUUGCAAAAUGGGCUAUUGAGCUCUUACCAUUUGACAUAACCUAUAAACCACGGUGAGCUAUAAAGUCGCAGGUUCUGGCUGACUUCGUCGCUGAAUGGACCGAAGCCGAACUCCCUAAAGAGUACGGCGCAUACUCCAAUUGGAUCAUGCAUUUCGAUGGAUCCAAAAUGUUGGCUGGCUUGGGGGCUGGCGUCGUCCUGACGUCCCCAACUGGAGACACAAUCCAAUACGUACUUCAAAUAAUGUACACGGACUCCAACAACGCAGCCGAAUACGAGGCCCUUCUGCAUGGCCUCUGGAUGGCAAUCUCCAUGGGCAUUCAAUGCCUAGAGGUGCGCGGGGAUUCAAACCUCGCAAUAUCCCAAGUAAAUGGAGACUUUGACGCCAAAGAUCCAAAAAUGGCAGCUUACCGCAAUGUUGUCCUAAAAAUGUCAGCUCAGUUCGAAGGACUCGAAUUCCACCAUGUAGCCCGGGAUAAUAACCAGGCAGCAGACGUGUUAGCGCGCAUCGGCGCGAAACGAGACGCCGUCCCUCCAAACAUCUUCCUGGAACGGCUCUUUAAGCCAUCCAUGUUAUGGGAAGAGGAGUCCGGAAAUAACAAUCCGGAGCCAGCUGCAUCACCUAACUCAGACCAUUCUGACACAAUCGGCGGCUCAGCCAACGAAAUAACACCUUCAGCUCACGAAAUAAUGGCAGUAAUUGCCCCUGGACAGAACCAUUCCUAGCCUACUUAAUUCGGCAGGAACUUCCCGAAGACCAAAAUGAGGCCCGCUGCAUAGUUCGGCGAUCUAAAGCCUACAAGGUCCAUGAGGGCGAACUUUAUAAGAAAAGCACAACCGAAGUCCUUCAAAGGUGUAUCUCCGAAGAGGAGGGGCGGAAUCUCCUGGCUGAAAUUCACGCCGGACUCGGCGGGCACCACGCUGCAGCUCAGGCUCUUGUAGGCAAGGCCUUCCGUACAGGAUUUUAUUGGCCGACAGCCCGGGCAGAUGCUCAGGACUUAGUCCAACGAUGCGUCGGUUGCCAGCUCUUUGCUAACCAGAGCCACAUGCCACCCACCGCCCUCAAAACUAUUCCCAUUACCUGGCCGUUCGCGGUCUGGGGGCUUGACAUGGUUGGACCCCUUAAAGGGGGAACCCACAAGCACAAAUACUUAUUGGUCAUGGUGGACAAAUUCACCAAAUGGAUUGAGGCCAAGCCGGUUAAAACGGCAGAAUCCGGACCGGUGAUAGACUUCAUAUCCAGGGUAGUACACCGUUUUGGCGUCCCCUGCAGUAUCAUCACUGAUAACGGCACAAACUUCACGGCCGACGAGGUUAAACUCUGGUGCAAAAACAUGGGCAUCAAGCUCGAUUACGCUUCAGUCUAUCACCCCCAAACUAAUGGUCAAGUCGAGCGAGCAAAUGGUCUAAUCAUGAGCGGCAUCAAACCCAGACUAGUGCGGUCCCUCAAGGAAUCUAACACGCACUGGGUAGAGGAGCUCGACUCCGUACUCUGGGGACUGCGGACCACGCCAAACCGAACUACUGGAUUCACACCAUUUUUCAUGGUAUACGGCACAGAGGCAGUUCUGCCCUGCGAUAUAAUUCAUGACUCACCUCGUGUGCGCAUGUACGAAGAAAGAGAUGCCGAGUUGGAUCGGCAGGACAGUUUGGACGCCUUCGAGGAGGAGCGGGACGUGGCAAAGGCUCGUUCCACAUUUUAUCAGCAGCAGGCUCGAAGAUAUCAAAGCAGAGAAGUACGGGCCAAAACUUACAAUGUCGGCGAACUUGUUCUACGCCUGCCGGACAAGAAAAAGGACAAACUUAAGCCCAAGUGGGAAGGUCCCUUCAUCAUCGACCAAGUCCUGAUCGGCAGAGCAUACUGUCUACGUAAAGCAUCUGACAACCGACUCGAGCCGAACCCAUGGAACGCAGCCCGUCUCCGAAGAUUCUACGCCUAAACACCGGACUCAGAGUUCGUCUCACUCCCACGUCCACCUUUUUAUAUUUUUUACUGCCUCUUGUCCCCCUCUUUCUUCCCACUUUUUUUAUACCUUUUAUAGGUUGAUUUGCGCUUUGUUCGCACACACGUGAUGUGCUCCUAGAACUCAUUAUACCUGGGGGAUUCUUUACCAGAAGCUUAUUCCUAUGGGCUUCACGCCCAAUACAUGUGUCAUACUUCCGCAUGUACCUUUUAUUCACCAUUAUAUGCAUCGAUAUGACUUAAGAUUUGGCUAAGCUGGGUGGCCUGGCUCCUGUGCUUACCCCUACGUUCCGGAUUGUUCGGCUAGGAGGUAAAGGGAGCACCUCUACGAUUGUUACUAUCGGGUCAGCCGGAUGUGUACCUCAGACUGGGUGAAGCCGAAAGCUAGUGUUCUUAAGAGAAUAUUCGGUCGGUGACUUGAAAGAUGAUUUAUUACUUACUUAUUUAUCUGCCCCCAGAUGCUUUUUCUGCUAUUUUCGCAGUCCGGCAUUGUACCUUAGGGCAUGCCUCCCAGGGAAAGGAACCCUUAACGGAACUAUUCUCCCUGGAAGAUGUUUCUUACUAACCAUGUAAUAUAACAUAACUAGUUGGGCACUUGUCUGAUAAAGCAAUUAUGACCCCGACGCCUUGUCUCCAUGCAUGCCCCGGUUCUUUUAUAACCGUAAGGGUAUUCGGACACACUCCGGACUGUUGGGUCCCGAGGUUGAAGCGAAACGGUCCGCAAAGACAAACGAUCUACAAUCCGGCUAGAAGGCAUCUUACAUGUCAUUUCAAAUUACAUCGUCAAACCGACUGAUUGUACUCCUCCUGAAUCCCAUCUAAUAGGCUGUCUAAUUUACAGUCCUGUUGGGAAUAUUUCGCGGCCAGUUCUACUUGGCCGUACAUCAAGCUCACAGGGAUCUCCUUCCCAUCAGGCCCCGCAGGUCCGACCUCGGCCAUGUGGUUUGGGUCAGCCUUCGGGUAUCGCGUCUUCACCAUGGCCCAGGCCUCCCUGGCGCCCUGACGGUAGGCUGAUAUCUUCCACAAACGGAGGCAUCGCCGUGCUCCCUGAAGCUUCUCAGCAAGCUCACCAAGGCCCUCGGGUAGGGAGAUGGAUGGCCAUAAAGCCUAAACGACGCCACUCAUCGCCUGCCGAACACGUUCGAACAAUUGCACCAGCUCGGGAAGUUGGUCACCUGUUGACCCAGGCAUUUCCUCCGCAGGGCGACCUGUGAGCACACCUAAAGACAUAUUUCUGUCAAUCGACUUCCUCGCCGAAUUCUUCUUUCCAAAGGAAUUUGCUCAAGCACUUACUAUAAAUGCCGCGACGAAGCCGCUGAUUCUCCUUCACGGAGCCAGACAGCUGGGCCCGAACACCCUUCAGCUCUUCUCCUAGUUGGGUGUGGGCAUCUUAGAGCUUAUUUCUCUCCUGAUGCACCUUCAUAAGCACCCUCUCACCGGCCUUUAGCUGACGCAGUAGCUGUUGCUUGUCCGGAUCUAGUCCGGCGCCCUCUGCAAUAUUAUUGUCAGAUUCACGCCGCACUUUGUUAAUUAAUUAUCUUUUCAAAGUACGUCUUACCAGUGGGGGUCUCUGUGGCUCCCCAUGUGGCGGCCAGUGCGGCCUCAAGUUGGGCCUUGCACUCUUGGAGCUCCUGGGACAGAUGGGUAUUCUUCUCCGUAAGAUCCUGCAUAAAAAUCGAUCCUUAAAUCAGUUAUUUUAACUAUUUUAAGUCUCGGGGGCUACUGGCAUAUAUAACUAUUAAAAUUACUUACACGUAUGUCUUUCACAUACUUCUCCGUGGCUCUGGUUAACCCAUCUUGAGCGGCACGGAGGUGCGCGUUUCCCGCAUCAAAGGCAUUUAACGCAUCCGGGGAGAAACACGCAUCAUGAAGAACUGUCCGGCGAUGCCUGUGAUUCAUGGUGCUCUCCACCUCAGACCGGGUGGCGGACAGCCUGUCGGCAUCUUCCGUCGGAGGAGCGUCCGACUCAUGCCUUGUAUUCGCCUCCCCUCCCGGGCCAUGCGUUGGAGCAUGGCUGGCGGAGGCUUGAUUGGCAACCUCUCCGGACACUGUCCGGCGAGCGCUCUUUCUGGAAAAGUUAUGAGCAUUAAUAUACCUCUUGGGAAUCCUUCCCUUAAGAAUAGCGGUGCUCCGUACCGUUGCGGCGAUGUUUCAGUUCGCGUCGCACUCCUCUUCUGCCUGUUGGGCCGGACUGACCCUUGUUGGCCGGCCACCGCGGGUUCGGCUUCCCGCCUUAAAGGCACCUCCUGCGAUGCACCAUCAAUAUGGGAUGGUCAGAAUUGAGCACGGAUUAAAUGAUGGUGUCAAGACCUCGGUCGUAGUCACCUGGGAGGCCGGAAACAAACCAGGGUAGUCAGCCAUAAUGGCGACUAAAGCAUUGUCUAUGCUGAGCUGGUGGAACACCCCGUCGAUCAGUUCCACCGCUAAGUCCGGAUCCUCUUCGGAGGUCGGAUCAAGGGAUCGUUUCGGAUUCUCAGGCUGUGGAGUUAGGCUUCGUAUGCCUUCCACAUCCCGGCGCAGCUCCUGCGUCGAAAUCACAGAGUAAGGUACUUGACUUUGAAAGUAUGGAUCGGGUGGAUGAAAAUCCGCUUACCCAGCUCCGAGGGAUAUUCAUAGAGAAUGCAUUCAGCGGAUUCGUGCGGAGAAAGUCCUCCUCCUCUCCCUUGUACAAGCCGGACAGGAUCUUUGCCAGAUCGGCUGCCGAGCCUGGCCCUUUGCGGCCAUGACGGGUGGCGUCAUCUUCCCCGUUGAAAUCCCACAUAGGGUGGCCCCUAUAUUGGAGUGGCUGCACCCCUCGCAUAAUACACGUGGCCAUGACUCCAAUCAUGGUCAAUCCAGAGUGGGCCAGUAAUCUAAUCCGGCCCAUCAGAUAAUGGACGCUCUAUCAUCUUCCCAUUGAGGGCUCCGCGGGCGCCAACUCAGGCGUUUCUUCAAGGGAGCAUUGCUGAACUCCGGGAGGCCGAUCCAAAUUGGAUCCGGCAGAGGGGCGUCCUCCAUGUAGAAAUAUUCCGAAGGCCAGUCUUCGGACGCCUUCUUCGGGGUGCCGGAUAGAUAUCCGGUCCCGGCGAUGCGCCAUAUUUCGGCUCCGCCCACUUGAUAUAUUGACCCCUCAUGAGAACGGGGUACGAGGCAAAACAAUCUCUUCCAUAGCGCAAAAUGGGGCUCGACGCCCAAGAACAGCUCGCAAAGAGCUACGAAGCCCGCGAUGUGCAAAAUGGAGGCAGGCGUGAGGUGGUGAAGCUGGAGUCCGUAGAACUCUAGGAGCCCCCGGAGAAACGGAUGUCUGGGAAAUCCGAGUCCCCUUAUUAGGUAGGGAACAAAGCAUAUCCGCUCCCCUUUGGAGGGGUUGGGGACGCUCUCCGCCUGCUUCCCACCCUUGUAGGUGGCUAGUCUGGCUCGAACCGGAACCAUGAAAGCUGGGGGAAGAUAUCCCUCGGUUUGGAGCGACACUAGCUUGCUGUGUGGAACUGAGCAUCUCCCCCAAUCUCCUGGCUUAGGGCUGGGAGUGCGAGAGGAGGAGCCACGUCGACUAUCCAUGAUGGAAUGGAUUUUUGUCAGAGGCGCUUCGAUGAGAACUUGCGGAUGGAGGAUGGUGUAAGCUGGAUCUAGAUCCUCGCCUCUCUUAUAGGCGGCUCGUUCGCACGGUUAGGGGGUAAAAUGUAAAAAUACCCCAGCCUUUCGCAUUCGUACGACACGUGGAAGAGGGCCAUUAUUGGGCGUAGAAGCCAAGGAGCGCAACAUUUAUAAGGAAGCCGGACACUAUUCGACGGGAACAUGAAGUUUGAAGGAGAACCCGCCUUACAACGCCGAAGACAAUAUACGCGCCGGACUCGUCAUCGCUGAAGCCCGGUUCGGGGGCUACUGAGGGAGUCCCGUACUAGGGGGUGUCCGGAUAGCCGAACUAUCAUCAUCAGCCGGACUCCAAGACUAUGAAGAUAGAAGAUUGAAGACUUCGUCCCGUGUCCGGAUGGGACUUUCCUUGGCGUGGAAGGCAAGCUUGGCGAUACGGAUAUGUAGAUAUCCUACCUUUGUAACCGACUUUGUGUAACCCUAGCCCUCUCCGGUGUCUAUAUGAACCGAAUGGCUGUAGUCCAUAGGACGAACAACAAUCAUACCAUAGGCUAGCUUCUAGGGUUUAGCCUCCUUGAUCUCGUGGUAGAUCUACUCUUGUAACCCACAUCAUCAAUAUUAAUCAAGCAGGAUGUAGGGUUUUACCUCCAUCAAGAGGGCCCGAACCUGGGUAAAAACAUCGUGUCCCUCGUCUCUUGUUACCAUCCGCCUAGACGCACAGAUCGGGACCCCCUACCCGAGAUCCGCCGGUUUUGACACCGACAGUGUCCUCUUGCUUUAUCAGGGACGGGAGCAAGGCCCAUCCUGUCUGUCGCCGCUCCUCCUCGCUUCGACACCCGGCCUGGCCAGCGAUGCAUGCAGCGCCAUGUAGGCAGGCAAGCAGCUGAGGUGGCACGGUGGUGGAUCCUUCACGAAGAUCUGCAUGCCGCCACACAGGCGUGUGCUGAGUUGGCCUGGAAGUUGCAUGUUGCCACGCAGGUGCCUGCCCAGCUGGUUGAGCUGGCAGCUGCAUGUGGACGGUGGCAGAGACUUGGUUGGUGCGGGCCUGGCAGUGGCCCCGCUGAUGCCCUUGGCAAGGGCCUUGCUGGGUGGCCCGGCAAGGGUCUUGCCGUGGCGCGCUGUCGUCCCUAGCAAGGAUCUUGCCAGGGGUCUCGUGGGUUUCCUCGGCAGGAAUCUUGUCGAGGAUUGUUGCCUUCCAAUCCUCAUAUGAUCUUGAAUAUUCUUUUUCUUCACAAAGAUCUGCAUGUCACCAAGGGGGUGCCUCCCAAGCCCUGGCUCAAUGUGUCUGCUGGUGUUGGAGACCGUGGGUUCCAGGGUGGCUCACUCUGCUGGUGUGGGCGAGCCGCCCCGACAAGGGUCUUGCCGGGGCUGCUGAGGCUCCCUCGGCAAGGGUCUUGCCGGGGAAACCUGCAUCGUCCAUCUGCUCUCUGUGGUCUCGGUCUUUGGUGUUGUCUUGAUACCGUGGUGUGGCUCUGAUUUCCUGUCUCCGCCAUGCCUAAGUGUGGCCGUGGGCGCGGCUCUGACUGCCCGUGCACAAAAUAAGGGGUACAAAAGAGCGCCCCUAUUUUAGUACAUCGACAUUAGGCAAAUACGGGAUCGUAGCUAAGCCCCCGAGUGAGAGGAUUGCUCUUCACUUGGAGUGUGUUUUGAAACUUAGGCAAGUACGGGAUCACAGCUAAGAACCCGAGUGAGAGGAUUGCUCUUCACUCGGAGUAUGUCUUUGAAACUUAGGCGAGUAUGGGAUCGCAACUAAGCCCCCGAGUGAGAGGAUUGCUCUUCACUCGGAGUAUGUCUUUGAAACUUAGGCUAGUACGGGGUCGCAACUAAGCCUUCGAGUGAGAGGAUUGCUCUUCACUCGGAGUAUGUUUUGAAACUUAGGCGAGUACGGGAUCGCGGCUAAGCCCCCGAGUGAGAGAAUUGCUCUUCACUCGGAGUAUGUCUUUAAAACUUAGGCGAGUACGGGAUCGCAUCUAAGCCCCCGAGUGAGAGGAUUACUCUUCACUCGGAGUAUGUUUUGAAACUUAGGCGAAUCGGGUUCGCGGCUAAGCCACCCAUUGGGGGAUUUGAACACAAGUAUAUGUGAAAAUAAUAAUUUUGCGACUACAGAAAUCAUGUCUUUGAUAAACAAUCUGAAAAGUACUUCUUAUUACAUCUCGAUGAUCCGAGUGUUUUCAGGUAUAAAAGCGGCAGAUCAGAUCUGCGUUCCAGGAGCGCGACUCGUCCUUCCUCUUGGCCACAUUGUAAAGGUGAUAUCCUCCGUUGUGCAGCACCUUGGUGACGAUGAAGGGGCCUUCCCAUGCAGGGGCGAGCUUGUGAGGCCGUUGCUAAUCCACUCGAAGCACAAUGUCUCCUUCCAGAAAUGCACAACCUCUAACGUUUCGGGUGUGGAACCGGCGAAGAUCUUGCUGAUAAAUGGUUGACCGGAUCAAGGCCAUCUCUCUCUCUCUUCCUCCAGAAGAUCAACAAUGUCUUGACGCGCCAGCUCUGCUUUCGCUUCUGAGAAGAGUUCUACUCAGGGCGCAUUGUCAAGCAAGUCACUCGGAAGUAUAGUUUAUGCUCCAUACACCAUGAAGAAAGGAGUUUGGCCAGUUCACCGGUUGGGAGUCGUCCUCAAUCCCCACAGAACGAAAGGCAGCUCCAUCACCCAAGCCCCUGCUGCAUGCUUGAGGUCGCGCAUCAAUCGGGGUUUCAGCCCUUGCAAGAUCAAACCAUUUGCUCUUUCCGCCUGUCCAUUUGACUGCGGAUGUGCCAUGGAUGCGUAGUCGACCCGAGUGCCUUGGGAAGUACAGAAAGCUCUGAAUUCAUCAGAGUCAAAGUUUGAGCCUUUGUAUGUGAUGAUGAUGUGCAGAACUCAAUAUCUGAAUAUUAACUCUCUGAUGAAAGUGAUGGUUGUUCUUGAGUCGAGGUUCUUGAUGGGCUUGGCUUCAAUCCACUUAGUGAACUUGUCGACUGCCACGAGUAGAUGGGUGAAGCCGCUUCUGCCAGUCCUCAAGGGCCCAACCAUGUCGAGUCCCCAAACAGAAAAUGGCCAGACGAGUGGAAUAGUCUUCAAAGCCGAUGCAGGUUUGUAAGACAUGUUCGAGUAAAACUGGCAACCUUCGCACUUCUCAACUAUCUCUUUAGCCAUUUUGUUUGCUCGCGCCCAGUAGAAUCCUGCUCGGUAUGCUUUGGCCACAAUGGUCCAGAGGACGCAUGGUGACCAUAGGUCCUCGAGUGAAUCUCACUUAGGAUCAGUCGACCCUCUUCUGGAGUAAUACACCACUGAGCUACGCCAGUCAUGCUUUCUCUGAAAAGCUGAUCACCUAUCAUCGUGAAGGCUUUGGAUCUGCGAACGAUCUGACAAGCUUCAUCCGCAUCCUCUAGGAGCUCCCACCUAAGCAGGUAUGAAAUGUAUGACACUGUCCAGUCGGGGAUGAUCACCAAAACCUCCAUGAUUAGGUCGACAACAGCUGGGACUUCAACUUCAGUCGGAUUAGUUGAACUUAUCGGUUGUGGGGGAUCCUAUGUAAAGGGAUCUUCUUGAAUCGACGGGGUGUGGAGAUGCUCCAAGAACACAUUACUGGGAAUAGGCUUCCGAGUGGAACCUAUUUUCGCCAGAUCAUCAGCUGCUUGAUUCUUGAGUCGGGGUAUGUGGUGGAGCUCCAACUCUUCAAACUUCUUCUCUAACUUUCUCACUGCAUUGCAGUAUCCAGUCAUGGCAGGGCUCCUGAUAUCCCACUCCUUCAUCACUUGAUUUACUGCCAAAUCUGAGUCACCAUAAACCAUCAGGCGACGGACGCCGAGUGAAAUGGCCAUAAGCAACCCAUAUAAAAGCGCUUCAUACUCAGCUUUGUUGUUGAAAGAAUCAAAGUGAAUCUGCGGUACAUAAUUGAGUCUGUCACCUCUUGGAGAUACCAGAACCACCCCAGCACCAGAACCAUUCAGCAUCUUAGAUCCGUCGAAGAACAUGGUCCAGUGUUCCGAGUGGACUUGAGUCGGUUGCUGUUGCUCAAUCCACUCGGCCAAGAAAUCUGCAAUUGCAUGAGACUUGAUAGCCUUCUUUGCUUCAAACUAGAUAUCUAGAGGAAGAAGUUCAAUCACCCACUUAGCCACUCGACCAGUUGCGUGUCGAUUAUUCAAAAUCUCUCGCAAUGGAGCAUCAAAAUGACGACUGAAACUGAGUGAUCUGUGAAGUAAUGUGCAACUUUCUUCGUGGUCAGAUAAAUUCCAUAGACAAGCUUCUGGUAAUGCGGAUACCUUUGCUUGGAUGGAGUCAAAACUUCAGAAAUAUAAUACACUGGGCGUUGAUCUUUAAAUUCCGGUUCAAGAGAAAUCUGUCUCUCAUAAAGUUUUGAAGAUCUCAAUAUCCGAUUUAAAAUCCGGUUCAAGAGAAAUUUGUCUCUCACAAAGUUUUGAAGAUCUCAAUAUCCGGUUUAAAAUUCCGGUUCAAGAAGAAUUUAUCUCUCGCAAAGCUUGAGUUCUCAGGAAAAAUUAAAGGGACCAAAGAGAGUCUGUUGCAAAGCACAACUCAAACAUAGGUACCCUGCUUUAAUGACCAUUGGGGGCUGAUCGUAUUCGAAUCUAGCUUAACCCCUUUGGCACGGCUAAUGUCGGGGAUAUACCCUGCAGUAUGACCCGGUCGGAUAUAUGACCCGGCUAGGACUUGGCGUUUCAUUGGUAACCCGCUGGAGGAUUCGCGACUCACGAGUGUGGCGGCUCACUGGUCUGAUGACUCAUAAGCCUAGCGACUCACUAAUGGCCCCGACGGCGGGUCGGUUAGAGUACUAGGCCCAAGGCCCAGAAGGCCGGCUGAUGUUAUGUUGGGCCAGCUUAAGAGGAAAGCGUAAGGAAUAUUCCCUUGUAAAGAAAGCAAGACUAGGACUCCAGUCGUAAUAGAGUAAUCCUAAUCCUACUGGGACUAGUCAUGUAACCCGCCCCUUCAACUUAUAUAAGGAGGGGCAGGGCACCCCAAGAGAGGAGAGGAAGAAAAUAAUCGCUAAGGCUAGACACAACUAGAGGAGAGCCGGUUAUGCGGCGUCUCCCUCAUGAGCAUAAUGAGACCUAGCCACAAACAACAUGUAGGGCUAUUACCGGAUGAUGUUUCCUGGGGCCCGAAGCUGUCUAAAUCCUUGUCUUAUGUGUUACGUCUCUUGUCCCGGUCAACCCCUCUCAAGCUAACACAUAGAUGUGUUGGCCUCACGACUAAGUCCUCACCCCAAGGACAUCUGCCGUGACUAAUCCACGACACAUGGUAACAUAGCAAAAACACCCGAAUGGGGGUGAUGAAGGUUGUUUUUAUUUCAUCAGGUCCAUACAUACGGAUCUGAUGGUACCCAGAAUAUGCAUCUAAGAAGGAUAAACGUUCACACACAGUCGUCGAGUCGAUGAUCUGAUCGAUGUGGGGGAGAGGAAAAUGAUCUUUCGGGGAGGACCGAUUGAUAUGCUUGAAGUCGAUACACAUACGAAGCGAAUCAUCUUUCUUAGGGACCAUGACGAUUUUGGCGAGCCACUCGGAGUGGUAAAUCUCGUGGAUGAACUCGGCUACCAAGAGCCGAGCCACCUCCUCGCCAAUCGCCUUUGUUUUUUCUGAGGCGGACCGUUGGAGAUGCUCUUUCACUGGUGUCGCUUUUGGGUCGACACGCAAACGAUGCUCAGCUAGUCCCCUGGGUACACCCGGCAUGUCAGAGGGCUUCCAUGCAAAGAUGUCCCAGUUCUGAUGGAGGAACUAGAUGAGCACGGCUUCCUAUUUGCUGUCAAAUGUCAUUGAUAUAUGAGUCGGAGCUGCAUUGGGGUCUUCCGGGUGGAUGUAAACAGGUUUGGUUUCUCCGGUCUAUUAAAAUGCAGACUCUGAGGCAGGCUUCUUGGACCGCAACAAAUCACUCGGAUCUGCAGUUUUCUGGUAUUCCUGCAUCUCCACUGCUGCCAUUUGCUCAUUGGCAAUCUUGCAUCCCUUCUGAAGGCACACUUCUGCUCUCUGUCUGUUUCCUGUGACUGUUAUCACGCCUCUGGGACCAGGCAUCUUCAACUUGAGAUAUACAUAACAUGGUCGAGCCAUGAAACGAGCAUAUGCGGGUCUGCCCAGAAUGGCAUGAUAAGCACUGCGGAAAUCCACCACCUCAAAUGUCAACUUUUCCUUGCGGUAAUUCUUGGAAUCACCAAAAACCACAUUAAGAGCAAUCUGCCCGAGUGACUUUGCCUUUUUUCUGAGAAUGAUACCGUGGAACUGCAUGUUACUCUCACCGAGUUUGGACAUCGGAAUGCCCAUCCCUUCGAGGGUCUUAGCAUACAGAAUGUUCAGCCCACUUCCGCCAUCCAUAAGGACUUUAGUCUAUCGGGUGCCCCGAACGACUGGGUCGACCACCAGCGCUUGCCGCCCAGGAGUUGCAACGUGUGCUAGGUGAUCUGAUUGGUCGAAUGUAAUGGGAGUCUUUGACCACUUCAAGUACGUCGUAGUUGCCAGAGCAACCAUAUUCACUUCCCUGUUAAUGACUUUCAGUCGACUUUUGCUUUCUACAUCAGCAAAAAUCAUCAAGGUAGCAUUGACCUUAGGGUAACCAUCAUCUUCCUCUUUUACAUCCUCUUUAUCAGAUUCUUUCUCACUGGACUAAUUCUCUCGGAAACUCUAAAUCAGAAGUCGACACUGUCGAGUGGUAUGCUUGGGUUGAAUCAAGUUGCCCUCUUCGUCUUUCUUAGUGUGAAUGUAACACGACAAAUCCAGACUAUGUGCUGACUGAACUGUGCCUGCAACCACUGACCUACUAUGAAUUCUGUUACAUGACUAGAAGACAGCAAAGUUCUGUUCCCUGAGGCUCUAAGCAAUGCUCGGAUCUACAGCAAGCCUCUACCAGCUUCUGAACGUGAUGACUGAAUUGACUCUGCUAUGCGUGCUGCUGCAACAUUUUGGAUCGGGGUGCGGUAUACCUGAGUCUCAGUCGGAAACAGAUGUCGCGCAUGUCGACUGGAUUUGGGGAUCCACUGAUGAGCGCAUUCGUUGAGUGCCUUCUCAGAUUCUCCAAACGUGUGCGCUCAGCCAAGGUGGCCAAGCACGCAGCCUCCAAGGCCCGAGCUUCGGAGGUCCCCCAAUGAUGGGGGUCUGGAGUGCCUGGACGUUGUGACGAUGCAGCUCUUCCCUCAGCUCCGCAGUGAAGGCCUCGAGGAUGUACUCGUCCUGACCCUGCGAUGGGCCGCCGCCGCCGUCGCUGUUGCGAUGAAAUCCAGGCGGACCAUGCUGGGAGUUGACCACAAGGACUUCUGCCGCUGGAUCAUUGCUCUCGCACUCAAAAAGUGAAUCCGAGUGACCAGUUGUAAGAUCAAAUAGAUUGUAAAGGGAUUCAUCGGGCUCGAUUGCCGUGACUUGAAGGGUGGUCGAUUGACGAGCCACCGCAUGCUUCACCCAACGUUGGAGUCACGAAUGGCCGGACCGCUUACGAUGGCGGAUGGACGCAACGGGAGCGGACCGAUACUGUGUCGGCGGCUGACGAAGGAGGACGCUGCAGGCACUUGCAUGGAAGUGCGUGGACUGAUACUGGGUCGACGGCUGACGAAGGAAGACGCAGCAGGCACUCGCAUGGAACUGUGCCGCCCCACGGACGGGGAGGACCUCGACGUCAAGAGGAGCUUCUUGGAGCUAGGCGAAGUCGUUGGCGAUGAAGGCGAGCGCGCCGAGACGGAUCUCGCGGCCCAAAGCCAAACCACCGCUGGAAACCAUGUUUAUGGAGAACAAAAUUUGCAACCUCACCGGAGGUCGCUCAGACGCCUGCCCCACGGUGGGUGCCAACUAUCGUGGGAGUAAGUCUGAUAGUAAGAGUAGGGGUACGUAGGAGGAGGCAAGGUCCUAGCUACGGUGAGGUUGUACACGCAAGUUUACGAGUUCAGGCCCCUCUCGGAGGAGGUAAUAGCCCUACGUCUCGGUGCCCUGAGGCUUUGUCGACUGGAUUAUGCGUGGACGUUACAAGGGGUGCGAACCCUUGUGCCUGAGGAGGGGGUGGCUUAUAUAGAGUGCGCCAGGACCCUCGCAGCCCUCAUCUACACAAGGUUCAAUGUGAGUUAAGAUAGGGGCAUUACUGGUAACGCCAGCCAUUAAUGAUCUUUAAGACUACAGAGCGAACGCCUGACCGUUGCCAUCCUAGGGUGGCUUUAAAUCUUCUAUACUCCGAGUGGUUCUUCGUAUGGUCGAGUGACUCUGCUGUGGUCGAGUGGAGUUGGGGUAUCCGAGUGAAAUCUUCUGUCGAGUGCAUUGCACUUCAAGAUGAUUCCAGUCGAUACUCUCGGUUGGUCUUUGAAUGUCUUUGGUUAUAGGGUAGUGUCCUUGGGUAGGGUACCUAGGUCAGGCCUAAGACCCUACCCUAGGUACAUGUCUUCGUCACCACCCACACUCGUCGGGUUGUUGUUGUUAUUGUCAAUGUAGUACAGGCCUAACCACACCAUAUAUCUCGAGUUCCACUCCCAGUUGUAGAACAAUGAUCAGACGAAGUACCCAUGGAUGUUGCAGCCUUCCUUCCUUCAGUAGUUCAAGUUGCAUAUCGAACACUUAAGGACCAAUCUGGUUAGCGAUUACAGCGGGACAUGUUGAUGAUGCUCAGUGUUGAUGGUUCAGUUCAGGCAUAUGCAAAGAGAAAUGGAAUCACCUUAUAGCAUCUAGGAGGUUGUACAUGUAGUCGUUGUGGUACUGUAUCUCUUAUCAUCUUGGAAGACAGUUUCCAACCUUCCAUGCAUGUUGACUAAUUAUCACUGACAAUUUAUUCAAGGACAAAAUCUUAUCGGUUGGCAACAGCAAAAUCUUCAACACCCUACCAUUCUCACUAAUGCACGCACGUAGAUUUUUUUCAUACUUCUCUUUAACAUUUUUCACCAGACUGAACAUUCCACAGGGAACUAUGUGCAGCCAACUCGAUGCUGCCUAAAAGUAGACACAUAUAUCCCCGAAAAAAAGUAGACACAUAUAUAUGUGUGUUACCAGUUCAACAUGUGAUUAAAUAAGAUGGAAACAAAUUAAAGUUAAGAGAACAUAAAGCUGCAAGAUAAAACACAAUAUAUUUACCUCAAGAAGUGCAUGUGGAAUAAUUUUGCUGGCAAUUAAUCAAAGACAUCGGUACCAUCCAAAAAGAUUUGAUUACUGCAGCCAAACUCUGAAUAUAAUUAUUGCCUGUAUAUAUCUAGCAUUGACGGUUCCCCACUUUCACACGUAGGUGAUGUUAAAAAAGUUGAACUGUUGAAACUACUUUCACGCUGUAUUUUUAUUACUUCUAUUUUAUCAUGUCAUGUGCCCGUUCAGAUAUAUUGAGUUGACCCAUUUAUUUUGGGUCCCGAUAACUGCCACACGUGUGGUGUAUCGGGUAGUUGUGCCACACGCCUCGUGUGGCAUGGACAGCAACCAGCCCACACACCUACGUGUGGGCAAAACAACUAAUGCCCACACACCUCUUUUUUUUUCCUUCUGAACCCUCUCACACGCGUGCGUGUGGGCGAAGUUGAUAACGCCCACACGCCCGUAUGUCAGGCCUCAUACCCUCCUGGUCCCGCACGCCACGCGUGACGCCCACCGCGCGCCCGCAGUUGUCAUGGUCCAGACCCUCGUCCAUAUUCGUUUAACUGCAGUUGCCAUGUCGCUGAACUACGGUUGCCAUGUCGGACAACUGCAGUUGCCAUGGUUGCUCAACUGCAGUUGCCAUGUAUGGUCUGAUCUAAUGUAGUUGCCAUGAUUUCAUAACUUUAGGAGUUGCCACAUACUAACACUAGGCAGUUGAGAGAGUUGCCAUGUCCUCACAAGCAUGCUAGGGCAGUUGUCAUGUAAAAAGGAAGAGUUGCCAUCUGCUUACGUGCACGUUAGGGCAGUUGCCAUGUACGUGCACGUUGGGGCAGUUGCCAUGUACCAUGCAAAAACACAUGGCAACUCGGUAAAAGAGAGUUGACAUCUGCUUACGUGCACACUAGGCAGUGGCCGUGUACCCUGCAAAAACACAUGGCACUCGGGUAAAAAAAGAGAGUUGCCACCUGCUUAUAAAGCACACUAGGGGCAGUUGCCAUGUGCGCUGCGAAAACACAUGGCAACUAGCAGCUUGGGUGUGGGAGAGGAGACGGGCGUGUGGGCGAGAUGGCAAAUACCCACACACUAGCCCUUGUGUGUGCGUGCAAAGUGGCGUGUGGCGCGAACUGCUGAACGCCCACACACCGGCCCCUCCGUGUGGUAAAACGGAUGUGUGGGCGACCUCUCUCACACACCACACACGCGAGUUGUCCUACGUGGCAUACAAAAUCAGCUAAUUCGUGCCAAGAUUCGUGCAGAAGUUACUGGACGGUGAUGGAGACGUGUGGGUGAGUUGGCUAAUGCCCACACGUGUGGGCGUUAACAUUUCCGUUUAUUUUUCGACUUCUUUUUUCAAGAUUCUAUAGUUAGCACAAAAUCCAAUCUCAGAGUAAGCAUUAUGGUAUAAACUAUUAGUCUAAUACAUGCCCAAGCAUAUAGCGAGCAAUUCAACUCUGUUGCUUCAACCAUUACAACAAAAUAUACAUAUUUUAAAACAUGUAAAAACUGAGGAGAGCUACUAUUGUCGCAUGCACUGCUCAAAGUAAAUUGGUUCAUCUGAACCUCCAUGGGCAGUGUGCACCAUGAUUUACAAAAGUGGAAGCACAACAGUAUGCAAAGGCAGGAGAAAAGCUAGAGAGCCGAUCUGGUCAUGGAAGAAGAUUCGGCAAUUGAAAAAGGUAGAAUGUGUGGUACCUGGUCGGAUCGGGAGCAGUUGCCCUUGACGGCGCAGACGAAGCGGAUGAUGGUGACUUGCCUCCGCGUGACGGUGGUUCUUGUCGAGCUGCUUCUGGCGCCGCCGGCAGCGCCCACAUCCUUGUCGUCCCUGCCGGCCACCUCCACAGAUCCGGAUUGACAAGAGAAAGGGGUAGGAGCGGCACAGAGGGGGCAGGGGGUGAGGGAAGGGGAAGGAAGGAGGCGACGCGCCUGGACCGAGAGGAGGCGUGGGCGAUCUGCAGCGAGGGAGAGGAAACGAGGUCUCCGGUGGUUGGGGAGAAGGUGAGGAGAGAGGCGAGAAGUGGUGGUGGUGGUGAUUGUGGGGGAGACCGCCGUUGAGUGGUGGCGGCGGCAGACGAGGGAGAGGGGAGAUAGGGUUAGGGAACGGGGGCUGGGGCUGGGGCUGGGCAUCCGUUUCUCCUAUUUUAUUUUCACCUCGACACAGUAAAAAGAUAGAUGAACAUCGCGAGAGAUCGCCCUUACACCGCACCUUAUUGUGUUUGAUGUCCUUCCAACGUCCCUGUCGGCAAUUGACACCACACUAGAGGUUUAACAAAAAAAUCAUGAUCGAGCUUUGUGCCAUGUCUAUCGCUCACCUCUUUUCCCCCUAUUUUCAAGGGAUUGGUUCGGCAUUGAUACUUGGCGUUACUAUUACCGUCUAAUGAAGAUAUGGUUAUGUUUUGAUAGUGCAUAUGCUAGGAGGCUUGCCAUUUUACACAACUAAACAAAGCUGAAUUGAGCAUAACUCAGAUGACACCGGUGCUCUCGUAUUUUCCUGAAUUUAGUUCAGGAUUUCCAGCGAUGUUCGUUUAGUGGGAGAUGCCAUUUUCAUCGACUACAAGACUCCUGUGAUGAUUUCGUCAAUCCCGAGAUGUGAUGUCGGCUCAGUAUCUCAGAGGUGUUCAUAGGGGUAGGGUGUGCGUGCGUUCGCGCGAAUUGUCCGUCUCCGUGAAAAAGCAUCACAAAAACUUACCUCUUUUUUUUUUGAGAAACAGAAACUUACCUUUGGAGUAAGGUCAUGUUUCACCGAACUCGAUCAUACGCUGGCAGCUGGCUACCCAACCUAUUUGUCUUCGUCUCCAAUCAAUGCAUGCUUUUGCCUUUUGAUAAGCAUGUUUUCCCCUUCAAAUGCCUGUAAAAAGCGAGGCAAAAAAUAGGCACGGACGAGUACGAACCGAUCGAUCCAUGGAUAUUCGCAGAUAACAUUCAGACUCAGACAAGCACUGUACAAUGGGUCUGCGGGGACUCUAGCUAGCUACAGCUUGACACAUUUACACCUCGAUCUCCAGUGGCGCGAAGCCGCGCCCAUGAACGUCGCUGUCGCCGUCACGUGGCACCCCGCACUUGCGCGCCUCUAGGUCAUGCUCUUCCUCCUCCUCGCCGGCUUUCGGGAGGAGCCACGCGUAGGCUUGCUCGGCGGGGCAUCUGCUGCACACGUACAGGUAGACCGCGAGGACGAACACCGUCAUGAAGGACAGGUACCACCCGAACUGCAGGUUCACCAGCGCCCUGGCACGGUGAAGGCUGGCCUUGCUGUGGCAGCGCACCGUGUCGCGGCCGUCCUUGCGCACCAGCGAGCACCCCUUGGGCACCAUGCUCGGCACCCACACCAUGGCGCCGAUGACCGCCAGCCACACCCCGUGGAACAUGAUGCACGCCGACCGGGCAAGGCUCACGGCGAAGCUCCGCGGGAAGCCGACGCCGAGGAGCGCGGUGCCGAGGCACGCGGCGACGACCACCUGCAGGAUCCAGUGGAACUGGCCCUCGACGCCGGCGUGGUCGGUGGAGUGGAAGUGGAAGACGAGGAGCUCCUGCGCGAACACCACGGACACCAGGAGCAGGCAGAGCGCGCGGCGCCCCGGAGCCCGAGCGCGGUCCAGGUGGACGGCGGCGCCCGCGUAGACGAUGAGCGCUAGGCAGAUGAUGGCGUGCUCGUGGUUGUGGAGCCGGUCCGACGGGAUGGAGCCGUCGGCGUCGAACGGAAGAAAGGUCGAGUGGUCCACGAACAUCUCCAUGACGAACUCGAGGGCGCUGCCGGCGAUGACGAGGGCGGGCUCGAGGUACCGCGCGCGCGGCACGGGGAACCACACCGGCGCGACGUAGGAGUCCGGGCGCUGGGAGAAGAGCCUAAUGUGGUUGAACAGGUGCCACAGGCCGACGGCGAAGAAGCCGGCGCCGGGCAGGAUGUGGCCGAUGCUGCUCCGCGGCGUGCCGCCCAUGGCCGGCGGUUGUACCUACGUAGCUGCAGGUUGGACCGAUUGACCGUUUCGUUUGAGUGGUGCGCUCGGGACAUUGGUCAGGUAUAAAAGGUGGCAGUUUGUACGAAAUUCCAGCAGGGUUGGAGGGAGGGAGCUCGUCCUUGAGUAAGUGAUAAACAUGCAAAGGAGUUGCUUGUAAGUCAGCACUAGUGUGCUUCACUGUCCUGUUCAUGUGGCAAGUUAGACCUCCGUUACUGUUUCCACACAAAGGAUGACCAAACAUGUCUUUUAAGAAAAGGUUGCAUGCCAAUUGCAAUAUUGUACUUACACUUUUGCACCUGAUCUAACAUAGCCACGUCGAUUGGGAAAUUUUGGGGCAAGGCUUUCAGAGUAGAUUUCCACGUGAACAUGUUGAGACUAGGGACUAUAUAUGGUAGAGAGAAAUCCACUUUACAACCCUGAACUUGCCACUCGGUUUAAAAUUCAACCCUCAACUCUACACCCCGAACUAACCAUCCGGUUCAAGAAUCAACCCUCCNNNNNNNNNNNNNNNNNNNNNNNNNNNNNNNNNNNNNNNNNNNNNNNNNNNNNNNNNNNNNNNNNNNNNNNNNNNNNNNNNNNNNNNNNNNNNNNNNNNNNNNNNNNNNNNNNNNNNNNNNNNNNNNNNNNNNNNNNNNNNNNNNNNNNNNNNNNNNNNNNNNNNNNNNNNNNNNNNNNNNNNNNNNNNNNNNNNNNNNNNNNNNNNNNNNNNNNNNNNNNNNNNNNNNNNNNNNNNNNNNNNNNNNNNNNNNNNNNNNNNNNNNNNNNNNNNNNNNNAUAAUUUCUUUUGAAUGAUUUUUGGUGGAUAAAUAGGCCUAAUACUAAGGUAUAUAAAAAAAUUCAUAUGAGUUGGGGGGGGGCCAUGGCCCAGGUUGGCCCCCACCAAGCUCCGCCACACUGCUCCACCCGGUUUUGAUUCCCUAGAGCAGUUUUGACCGUUUGUCUGCUGACCAGGCAGAGCCAUGUCAGAUUUUUGACCCCUCUCUCUUUUGACAUGUCUUUUGCCCCUCCUCUCUCGCGCGAGCGCUGGUUGCAUGCUCGUGCACUGGUGAACAAGAGGAACUCCCAUGCUUGCUCCGCUGCCAUGCGCACCCCCGUGCUUGCUCUGCUGCCAUGCGUGUGUGCGAGCUCGUGUGUAUCCUGUCGUGUGUGCUCGUGCUGCCUUUCUUCCCAGCAAGCGGGGGUGUGGUUAGAGCAAUACAAUGAGCAGCAGCCUAACAGGAAGUGGGAGCAACACCUCCUGCAACCACUUCGCACUCCUGAUAAAAAACGCCGGAAGCGAUAGAGCAGAGCAGCGCUCGCACGACGACACCCCACUAUUCAUCACAUGGCUGCACCAGAACAGCGCCGGCACGACACCAUGCCCGUUGCACUACCGGGGAAGGGGUACGGGCACGAUGCGCGAGUCAGGCGGUGGUCAGCUCGUAGUCUCCCACGUCAGGGGUACAGUAGCAGAUCCAGGAUUUCAUACUUGGAUGUUCAAAAAAAAUUGCAUGUUAAAAAAUCUAAUAUCUAAAAUGUUCUAUAGCAAGAACUUUUUUCCAUCAAAAUGAUAAUACCUUAUAGAAAUGACAAAAGAAACAAAGAUUAUUUACUUCAUAAUCAUACAGUUGGGGAACACAUGGCCAUUAAUAUACAAUGCAUCUGAAGACAAUGGGCAAGAAGAAUGCUAAUUACGAGCCUAGCAUAUGCAGAUAUGGCCUCGGAACACUGAGACCGAAAGGUCGAACGUGAAUCAUAUAGUAGAUAUGAUCAACAUAGAGAUGUUCACCAUUGAAAACUGCUCCAUCUCAUGUGAUGAUCGGAAAUGGUUCAGUUGAUUUGGAUCACGUGAUCAUUUAGAUGACUAGAGGGGUGUCUAUCUAAGUGGGAGUUGCUGAUGACAUCCGUAGGUGUAGACUGAUGUGUAACUCGUGCUACAACGACUGCGAUACUCUAGUGCAGGCAAACAUUGCUGCUGUCAGCUUUGGCCGGCCUUUUUUGCUGCUAAAGAUGGCACUGGCGAGAAAGGUUGGAAUACCCCUAGAAAACCGGCUAUACCAACAUGACAUUCUCUCACGUGUCCUUGUCUCUGUAACUACUACCCUAGUCUAACGUUGCAGGCCGCAUGUGCUUAGCUAGAGGAGUUGGCUAUGGAGGCAGUUAGCAUAGUGGCCGCACUUGCGUGCUCUUCAUCUCUGGGUAUAGUUUCUGUCUCUCUCUUGCUCUCCCUUCUUUUUUUUGAAACUUAACACAUUCCUUUAUUUAUUCAUCCCACCUGGGGAUCUCGUCUGAAAUUACAUGCAGAAUAACAUCCGGGGGCAUCUGGUGCCACACCGUACAGAGAUGAUCAGUCACUGUUGUUCUAGCAAGCAAGUGAGCAGCAGUGUUUGCUUCACGUCUAGCCCACGCAAUCUUCCAUUCGUCCCGCGAUGCCAGAAUAUGCUUGAUUUCUUCAAUCAGCGGUCCAAGAGAAGAUAGAUCCUUUCCCGUGCGCUGCAACAUACCUGCUACCUCCCUGCAAUCCGUCUCUAAGUAUAACCUAGGGAUGUUUAGUUCCUACGCUAAUAAGGCUGCUCUUCUCACAGCUAGUAUCUCUGCUCGCACCAGUUCUUUGCAAGGCAGGAGGAGCUGGCAUGCACCCCCCAGGAAAGCGCCUUCAUGGUUUCGGAGAACCACACCCGCACCUCCAUGCUCGGCCACCUUAGCCAUUGCGCCGUCCACAUUUGCCUUCACCCAUCCCUCUUCCGAUGGCCUCCAUUUCUCCCUCACCGCAGGAGCAGUGACCUUAGCUUUCCUUCCAUGGAUCGACUGCCACUCUGUCAUUAGGUUGAAGACUCUCCUCGCUAUUGCAUCCGCUUCUUUGAUCCGCUGCCCAUCCCUUGCAUUAUUCCUUGCCAGCCAGAGUGCAUAGACUCCCUGGGCAAGGACUGCCCGCUCAUAAUCUGACGCGUCCGCAAUCCACGAAAGUAGCCAUCUCGACAACGCACCCUGAGAGCAAGCAUUCUUCGGUGGGAUCGCCACCGGUACUCCCAAUUCCGAGUGCAUAAUCUUCCAGAAGUUUAUAGAGUGGUGGCAGCCCCAAAACCUAUGGUAGUUUGUUUCUUCCCGCCCGCACACCAUGCAAAACACCCCCGCCUUGAUUCUCCUUCUUAGCAGCUCCGAUCCCACUGCUAACUCAUUUCGUAUCAGCCUCCACAAGUGUGUCUUGACUUUGCCCGGCGCUACUGUAUCCCAUAAGUUCAUCCAGGUUUUGUGAUCGGCCACCGAAGAAGAAGACUCCGGAUGCCCCGAACGUUGUCGAUUCUGGCUCAUUCGCAGGUGGUAAGCCGAUUUGACCGUGAAAACCCCAGUUUUUUUUAUAGUUCCAUGCUUGGUAGCCCGCCAUCUCCGCCCCCCCCCCCCACUGGGAUAUGCAGGAUUUCUUGUGCUUCAUCUGGUGCAAACAUGUUCUGUACCUUGGCUAUAUCCCAUGAGGUGCCAUCCGGUCCCAACAGAUCGCUAACUCGCGUGAUCCCAUGGACAUAGUUUUGGCCCAGUGACAUCAAACUACCCUGUCUCGGGAUCCAGUUCGCGUGAUGCACAUUGAUCUUAGACCCGUCUCCGAUUCUCCAUAUAAGUCCAUCUAGCAGCAGGUCGCGACCAUGAAUUAUACUCCUGAACGUGUAGGAGCAUCCCCCUGGGCAUGUUGCGUUCAGGAUCGACCCUGUUGCGAAGUAUCUUGCUUGCAAAACCCUAGCACACAGCAAGUUCGGCUCCUGGUACAAACGCCAAGCUUGUUUCGCAAGCAUGGCUUGGUUAAAAGCCUCCGGAUCACGGAAGCCUAGUCCCCCUUCCCUUUUCCUCGUGCACAUCUUAUCCCAGGCAAUCCAAUGCACCUUUUUCUUACCAUUUGCUUCUCCCCACCAGAAGUUGGACGAUAUAGAUGACAGGUUCCCGCACAUUUUCUUUGUGAGUUGAAAGCAGCUCAUGGUAAAGGUAGGGGUAGAUUGGAGUCCGGAUUUAACGAGUACCUCCCUCGCUGUUUUUGAUAAACCUUGUCCUUUCCAUCCUGACACUUUGCCUCUAGCACUGACCUUAACGUAUUUAAACGUCCCCUCUUUCGAUCUCCCUACAACAGUAGGCAAACCCAGAUAUCUCUCGCUUAGGGCCUCAGCGUUAAUAUUGAGUACCGCCUUUAAAUCUUCCUUCCUUGCCUCCGAAGUACCCUUUCCAAAGUAAAUUGCAGAUUUCUGGAGGUUAACUUUAUGUCCCGAGGCAGCCUCAUACUCCUGCAGAAUGUUUCGAAGUGUGGUAAGAUUUUUCCCUUGAGCCCUCCACAAAAACGACACUAUCGUCAGCAAAGAGAAGAUGAGUAACCGUUGGUCCACCAUUCCCAAACGACACUCCUUUGAUGCUUUUCUCUUGCUGCGCAUUUCUAAUGAGCACUGAGAAUCCCUCCACGCAAAAAAGGAACAAGUAUGGGGAGAGGGGGUCCCCCUGCCUUAAUCCUCUUGUAGGAAUAAAACUGUGGGACAGUCCGCCAUUUAGCUUGACGGAAAACUUGGCUGAUUUAACACAUCGCAUGACCAUCUCUGUCCAGUGACUAGAGAAGCCAAAUUUUGCCAUCAUUUGCUCAAGAAAGUCCCACUCCACUCUAUCAUACGCUUUCAUCAUAUCCAGCUUUACCGCGCACAAAGGCUUCUUCCGUUUCCUUUUCCUGAUAGCAUGCAUGCAUUCAUACACGACUAACACAUUAUCCGUAAGUAGCCUUCCCGGCACAAAUGCGCUCUACUCCUCAGAUAUCAAAAAGGGGAGGACUACUUUUAGGCGGUUGGCCCGUGCCUUCGCCGUGAUUUUAUAAAGGACAUUACACAGACUUAUUGGACGAAACUGAGAGAGUAGCUCCGGUGAGUUCACUUUCGGAAUCAUCACAAUAAUUGUAUCAUUGAAACCAUUGGUUGCUGCCUUCCCCGCCAAGAACUCCCGAAUUGCACCACACACAUCAUUCUUCACUUGCUCCCAAUGGCGCUGGUAGAACAUAGCUGGUAGACCGUCUAGUCCCGGUGCCUUUGUAGGCCCCAUCUGGAAUAGAGCCACUUCAAUCUCAUCAUCAGUGAAAGGCCUUGUGAGCUUCUCAUUCAUCUCAUCCGUCACAAGAGACUCAAUAUGUUGCAAUACUCGCUGCCCCUCCCUUGAUCCGUCAUAAGCGAAUAAGUGGGCAUAAAAUUGGUCCGCCAAUAUGUGCAUCCCUUCAUCAUCCGUGCACUUUGUCCCAUCAUCUCUCCUCAAGCCUUUUACCCUGCCCUUCCGUCGGCGGUGCGAGGCUCGAUUUUGGAAGUACUGUGUGUUCCGGUCCCCGUCCGUCAACCAGUCAAUCCUUGAACGCUGUUUAUAGUAAAUUUCUUCAUGUUCAUAGAGCUCAUGCAGUUGGUCCUCGAUAUCCUUGAUUUCCUGUCUAUACCCAGUUUGAGCAGCUCGCUCCUUUGCCUCAGUAAGUUGUACCUUCAAAUGAGCAAUCUGCCUCUUAAUUGAUCCAAAAACUCUUCGACUCCACACGUGCAUGGUCUUUGAUGCAGCUCUCAGCCGGCUGCAGGUCGUUUCGAGGUCCCCCCUUGCUGAUUGGUUGCAUGGGCUUGUUCCCAUGCAGCACCCACCAUCUUGUCGUACUCUGCAUGCCUGACCCACGCCGCCUCGUAUAAAAAAGGGCGCUGCCCUCACUCCCGUCGAUCGGCCAGUGUCGUUGACGCCUUAAUUAAAAGCACUUGAUGGUCAGAUUCUUACGUCAUCACGUGCUGAACCUCGACUUCUGGAUAUAAUUGUGCAAAAGCCGCAUUACUCAUCACCCGAUCGAGCCUCGCCUGAAUGUUCUCCUCCCCAUCACGCUUAUUAUCCCAAGUAAAAGGGUAUCCCGUAAACCCCAGGUCUGCAAGACCGCUGUCGGUCAUACAGUCCUCCAAAAGCACCAUCUGAUGCAUGUUCCUCUGGUUGCCACCUUGUUGUUCAUUCUGUCUCAGUGUCUCAUUAAAAUCACCGACGCAAAGCCAUGGGAGAUCAUCUUGGGUACGUAGGUAAGGGAGCACUUCCCAAGUUUUUGUUCUUUUCUCAACGCAUGGUUCCCCAUAGAUUCCAGUGAACCUGAAGGAGACACCAUCGAUUGCUAUCGUCGCAUCAAUGUAAUAUUGGCACCACGGCCUCACCGUAACAUCCACAUGAUCCCUCCACCACAUAGCCAAGCCUACACUUUUUCCUUUACAGUCCACAGCCACACCGUGUUGAUAACCCAAGCUCCACUUUAGUCUCUCCAUUGCACUAGCCCGUUUUUUUGUUUCCGACAAAAAUACCACCUCUGGGUUGUAUGACCUCACCAGGUCCCUUAAAUCACCCACAGCCGAGUCCAACCCCAACCCUCAGCAGUUCCAGGCUAGGAUGAUCAUUGCUCUCGGCGGCCCCGCUCCCUGGCAGGGUCCGUCGUUGCCUCAUCAUGUUUCGAAAUCCUCUCAAAGACAAAAGCUGUCUUCUGCCUAGUGUCCCGCAUGAAAUUGUCUCGACCAUCCUGGUUGUCACCAACCUCUCUAGCCACCCACAUCUGACGUGGCCGUCUCUUCCUAGUAUUUGGAGUGACAUUGGGGCCACUGCCUCUUUCUCUCUUCUCCUCAUGAUCCGGUCUGGUCUUCCUAACGUAGUAUCCCCUUCUCCUCUGUCCAAAGUGGUGAGGCUGGUAUUCAUACACCCCAUCCCUGUCUCUGUUGUCAGCUUCCCGCUCCCUGCUACCUCUUGCAGCAUAGCGUGAUGUAUCAAACUCCCUUUGUCUCUGCCGGUUCUUUAGUUGUUCCCUCAGAUCCCUCUCCUUCUUCCUCUCAAGUUCAUGUCUGAGGUCCCUUUCUUCAUGCCACUCUCCUCUGAACCGAUAUUUUGUUGGGCUAUUAACCUCCGCUUGGCCCUUGUUCCGCUGCCCACCAGUGUGGGAGCUCUCCGGCCUAUCAAACUCGGCAUUCAGAUUUCUCUUUGUUGGGACAUCUUUACUUCUGACAAAACUCCCUUGCUCCUUGACACUUCCACCCGACUGCGGGGUCACAAAACUGCUCUUGUUGUUAGUCUUUCCCCCUCUUGUCUCAUUUUUGGAGCCAGUGCUCCUUCCCGGGGACGCUCUUAGCCAGCCCCCCCACUGUGUCGAAUUAUCAACAGGUGGAUCACAUCUUCCAUUUACAUGCACAAGCCUUCCAUACUCGAAACAGAAGUGAGGUAUCUUCUCAUAGUGGAAAUCAAACCACGUGCCAAUUUUGUCAUCAUGUGAUGUUUUGAGGACAAACCCCCGAACCAACGGUUCAUAGAUCGAGAUGCUUGCCCUUACUCACAGCUGAUUGCCUCUGGCCAUCCCAUCUUUGUCAACAUCUACCCUCACCACCUCCCCGAGCCAAUUCCCUAAUGCUUUCCCAAACACCUCAGUUCUUUUGCCCGGUGGCAGAUCUGUCACCUUAACCCACACAUCCACUUUAUCAAAGACCAUCUCUGAGGGCCGUAUGUUGCUCUCAUACUCUUUCAGUACUAGCACAUUGAAAUCGUAUUGCCACGGCCCGUUUGACAAUGCAUGCCUCCAAUCUCCUUCGCUACCAAAGUGGACAGCAAAAAAAUUGUCACCCAUGUCCCGGAACCUAGCCUCGUAGUGAAGUCCCCAAGUCAUUUGCAUCGUUUUCUCAAGCACAGUCUUAUUGAGCGGUCUCGGCGAGAACGCCUUCCCCACCGCCGACCACUUCAUGUUCUUGGGCAGAACCUGAUCAGGUUCCUUGAAGACGAAUCCUUCGGCUUCUUUGUCUAACAACACCAUCCCUCCCAGCCUCGCCGAGAGGCUCGACGUGGGAUCCGGCGUCUUGCACAUGGCUGGAGAGUUUGCAGAUCCCCCACUUGUCGCUUUCCCCGGAGUCGCUGUCGCCCCGGGUAUCAUCGUCGGGGUCCUUACGCUCUUCUCCUGCACCUUCUCCGCCAUCGUCGUCGGAGUCCUUACGCUCCUCUCCUUCGCCUUCUCCGCCAUUGCACCGCACCUUGGAGGAGAGGCUCCACCGGUCGCCGUCGAGGGUGACGCAGUCACCGCCCCAAACACCACCGGAUACACACCACCCCUGCCGCCGAAAACCCUAACCCUAGCGUUUGGAGGAUAUCGCCAAAACAAUCGCCUCACAAUCGCCCCUUAGCGUUUCGCGCGUGGUGGACCCGUCUCUUGCUCUCCCUUCUUACAGUAUACAACAUAUAUGACUUUUGGCAAAAAUGUCUUUUGGCAUGUUUCUCCCUAAUUCUGCACUUCUCUAAUUCUUCUCAUUUUGGCUCCUUCAAACACAUCUUGAAGAGUGACUACAGAAAUGACUUGUAAAUAGAUCUGCAAGAUCAUCAUGUGACAACAUGUGGUACAUUUACAUUGUUCAUCCAUUGCAUCUCAUGAACAACGGAGAAUUUGAGGUAGACAUCCUUUGUGAGGCACUUUCACAUAGCUCGAUCGCAUUUAUACAACAUAUGCGCCUGCGUUAUCCUCCAAAUACUUCAUAUUGCUUGCUAAACAUCCAACUCACAUGAUGCCCAUAUGUAGCGCUUCAGUCUCAUGAUCAUACACAUUCUGGUGGUGAUGCUCUAUAUAGUGCAAUUUUCUCUAAGUGGAUCCUAAAACCGGUCAACAACUUAUAGGAAUAUGCAGCUUCCACCACAUAGGAAUACUUUGCGGGUAUGUGACAUGGACGAAUAUAAGUGCUGCAAGUGAUCGGUGUCUGCAUAUCCUAGCAUGGCUGUUUUGCUCUUUCAAUGCAUUGCUCAAUAUUGUUUGCCUUUCUGGAGAUAUAAGGAGGAACAUUCUUUGUGCCUUCCCACUGCUACUUUGGGUUUUGCACGUGAGGUGGUGCAUACAACAACUAAUUUCAUGAGCGUUUCAUUUCUUAUUUUUCCAGCACGAAACAAACAAGGCCCAAUUGGUCUAUGAUAUUUUUCUUUCCCUUCUGAUUUUUCUUCUUCUUCAUGUCAUUUCCUAUUAUUUUUAUUGAUUUUUCCCUCUUUUUAUAAUACUUUUUACUUUCUCGUUAUUUUCAUUUUUUUCUUUCAAAUUCCUUUUAUUUAUUUUUAUUUGUUUUUAUCAAUAAAAUUUCGCUGGAAUUAUUUUGUGAAAAAGCAUGAUAUAUACUCCCUGUUCAACAAUAUGCAUUAUAGGUAUUUUCUUGUGUCGUUAUUUUCAGCAACAAGUGUUUUAUCUUGUUAAUAUUUUUUUAUUUUAUUAUAUAUAAAUAUAUCGUGUUCUUGUGAAGGAGCUGAAUAUUUCGUUCAACUAACUACAUUUAUAUCUAUUAUAACAAUUUCCCCGACUAGCAUGAACAUUUUGUACGACACAUACAAGCACUUUCUAUAAGUAACCAGAAAAUCUCAUAUACCACUCGUUAUUGAAAAAAAUAUUAUUUUUUUGCAAAAAAAAUCUUCAAUCAGAACAAAUAUCUAAAUAUAUGUACGUUUGUAAGAAUAAAUAGUACUCCCUCCCUUCACAAAUAUAAGAUGUUUUGAAUAUUUCAAUAUAGACUACAUACGGAAUAAAUGAAUGAACAAACAUAGUAAAACAUGUCCAUAUACAUUCGAUUCACAAAAAAAACUACUCCCUCUAAUCCAUAUUAAUGGUCGCUGAUUUAGUACAACUUUGUACCAAAUCAACGAUAAUUAAUAUGCAUCGAGGGAUUAGAACAUCUUAUAUUUGUGAACGGCAGGAGUAGAAAAUAAUAAAACAAAAAGUGAAAACAGAAAAGGAGCAAAACAUUAAGAAAAGGUUACGACAAAAAUACUAAAGCCUCAUAAAAAGUAAAAAUAGGGAGGAUGCUCGGAUUUUGUUAUUUUAUGUUCUAUUUUUAUUGGAACAUAACAAACAUUUUUUGAACCAAACUAUACACAUUGAUGAACAUUAUUACAACAUAUUGUGCAAAGGUAACAAACUAACAAUGAUGAAACACUUAGAAGGCUAUGAAUUUUUUUUACAAAAGAAGAAAUAAAUAAAUCUUGAAAGUGAAAAGAAACAUGAACAAAAAAAACAAACUGAAGAAAAAUACUCUACACUAUGAAUGGGUCACAACCUAUGUAAUGUGAGAGGGUUUGUGAAGCUGGGAAUAAAUUUGCAGGAGCAAAGUCGGGUGUAGGUAAAACAUCAGUGAGCUCCCCAAAUUCCUAUUUGGGCGCCAAAUAGAGUGCAAACCAUUCAGUCCACACACGCACUCAUUCGCUAGUCUAGGUGGGUCGCCGAUCUCCCCUCCAUGAGUUCAUUCGGCUAGGUUUCAGUGUGUUUUUUCACUGAUCUUUUGUUUGAUUUUUCGUUACUUUUCUUUUUUUCUUUCUGUUUUUUUCUUUGUUCUCAAAAAAUUAAUGCAAGCUUUGGGAACUUUUUCCUAAACUCUUGAACCUUUUCAAUUCCACGCACUUUCUCAAAUUUACAGAAAAAUUGCUAACCACUUUCACAUUUUAUGAUUUUUUUUCAAAUUCCUGAGCUUUAAUUCAAAUUUUCAAAAAAAAUUCAAAAAAACACGUUUUCCCCUAAAAUUCUUUUAAAAAAUAAUUUCGAAUACUUUUUCGAAAUUAAAACUUUCAAGUUCAUGAGCCAUUCUCAAAUUUUUGUGAACUGUUUUAAAAUUUGUGAACUUUUUCAAAUUCACAAACCUUUUUCAAAUUCGAAAACUUUGUCAAUUUUUUGAACUUUUUUUAUAUUUUUUUAACAAAUCUACGAUUUUUUUUCAAAUUCAUGAACCUUUUUAAAAAUCAAUUUAUUUAUAUAUUCUUAUUUGUUUGAAAGUAAAUGGUCAACAUAUCAACCAAGCGAGCGAGCUGCUCACUUAGUUGGGUUGGCCCGCGUGGGGGAACCGGCCAACCGAACUAACACUAGAGUUAUUUUUUGCGACUUUACCCAUGGAGGGGAUGAGAGGGUUGGGUGUAUGCGAUUUAUUUCUGUUGAUCCAUCUUUCAAAAUGAUAUAUCUCUUGGGCCGUGUGCCAAAUUACGAACUGUUUUCACCGUUGUGUUCCUUUCAUUAAGAUGUUCAGGUUAAAUCUUUCUUGAUAGGUUUCAAUGAACUUUUCUCAAGGUAACUCAUGCUCCCUACCAUACUAAAAUUGUAGUCCCCCGCAUACUAAAAUUGUGCUCUCGGUGUUAGUGUAGUUCUGCUCUCUGCGUGUAGCGCAUUUUAUUCUCCGUACAGUGUACUUGUGCUCUCUGCGUAGUGCAUUUUGUGCUCCCCGUGUAGUGAAUUGUGUGUAUCCUGUGUAGUGCAGUUGUGCUCUCGGCCUAGAGCACCUUGUGUCCCUUUAAGUGUUUUCAUGGAGAGUACACAUCUGCUUCCCCUUGGAGCACACAUGUGCUUUCCUACCUCAUAGUGAAGGGACACCUGUUCUUCCCAGCUAAGCAUACUUGUGAUUCCCUUUAAGUAGUUAUUCACUGUGGGGACUACAGUGAAUGUUCCAACCGUGUACCACACAAAAAUCAAGAAAAUCUGAAGUAAAAAGUGGGGAAAACCAAAAAAUGAACAACCCAAAAAUAUUGGACAUAGGAAAAAACAAGAAAAACGAGCAAAAACUAGAAAAGGUGGAAACCCCCCCAAAAAAAGUAAUAGACUAAAAUCUUGGGUGGGGAGCACCCAAUUCGCGAUACGUGGUGGCGUUGGAGCACUCGUCGUGUUUCCCCUUGAGUGCCCCUGAUAAGUAGUGAUUUGACAGCUUUUUACAUGAGCCGGUUUUAUCUUAUGCCUUGUAUGUAUUUUAGAGAGGAAAAUAAGAACAUGUCUAUAAUGGUUAUCUCUUAGUUUUUUGCGAAUUGAAACUUUUAUUACUCAAACCCCACCGGAAUUACAACCUAGGGCAGCAAGUUCCAACACUCUGGGAGGUGCAGAGCCUACCCAAGUCAUGGUUCUACCUUCCUCUCUAGCAAAAAUAGUUAAACAAUCACUAACUUUAUUCUGGGGUCUGCGAGUUAUCAUUUAGCUUCGUCUUCAAUAACUAGCUGUUCCUAAAUAUGCGGUGAGACCUAUUGUGCUAAGAGAUCAUGUCUUAAAUAAGAUAAGACAAGCCUUUUCUUAUGGUUUCUCUCUCCUCCACAUCAAUAUGUAUCCGACGUGGCACUUCUAAGAUAGCACCAUUGUACAUGCCCUAAGAAGGCCCACCUAGAGAGUACUGAAAGGAUCGAUAUAGUUGACUAGAGGGGGGUGAAUAGGCAACUAACAAUUUUUAGCUUUUCUUUACCAAUUUUAACUUUGCAUCAAAGUAGGUUGUCUAGAUAUGCCACUAGGUGAACAACCUAUAUGAUGCAACAACAAUAAGCACACAAGAAAACAAGGAUAGAACAUAAUAUAGCUUGCACAAGUAAAGGAGAGAGAUAACCAAAAGGGGAACCGAUGGAGACGAGGAUGUGUUACCGAAGUUCCUUCCUUUUGAGGGGAAGUACGUCUCCGUUAGAGCAGUGUGGAGACACAAUGCUCCCCAAGAAGCCACUAGGACCACCGUAUUCUCUCACGCCCUCACACAAUGCGAGAUGCCGUGAUUCCACUAUUGGUGCCCUUGAAGGCGGCGACCGAACCUUUACACACAAGGUUGGGGCAAUCUCCACAACUUAAUUGGAGGCUCCCAACGACACCAUGAAGCUUCACCACAAUGGACUAUGGCUCCGCGGUGACCUCAACCGUCUAGGGUGCUCAAACACCCAAGAGUAACAAGAUUCGCAAGGGAUUAGUGGGGGGAAUCAAAUUUCUCUUGGUGGAAGUGUAGAUCGGGGCCUUCUCAACCAAUCCCGAGCAAAUCAACAAGUUUGAUUGGCUAGGGAGAGAGAUCGGGUGAAAAUGGAGCUUGGAGCAACAAUGAAGUUUAGGGAUGGUAGAGAUAGGUCUUCUUGGAGAAGAAGACCCCUUUAUAUAUAUAGUGGGGGGGCAAAACCAACGGUUACCCACCACUCAGCCCGCGACCCGCGGUACUACCACACCACAGGAGCGGUACUACCACACGGGCCUGCGGUACUACCGUGGGCGCGGCAGGGCCUGGACCUGACCAGAAGAGCACCGACAUGGUGCGGUAGAACCGCUGGCGCGGUACUACCGCGAAUCCGUACAGUACUACCGCAUGGCAGGCAUAGUCCAGGCACGGUAGGCACGAAUAUAAAAAAUUACAUGGUCAUCGUCCUUUAAUUUAGCACACGAGAUACAACAAGAGCAUGAUCAAGAUCUUCCUUUAAUUUAGCAUGGUCAUCGUUGUGUGACUCCUCAAGAGCCAAACGAUGCCCACGCUCUUCCUCAAGAGCAUUAGAGAGAUCUGAUAUCUCAUCAGCAUAGUCACAACUAUGACCUUCCAUCUUAGAGAUGUUUCUUCAUGAGCCUCGAUCAUGUCAUUGGCUUCACCAAGUUUUUCCAAGAGAGCAACAAAGUGCUUCUUGGAUUUGCCCUUGAGCUUACUCAUAAAAGACUCAAAUUCAUUCACUUCCUCAUUAGACCCCUCACUUCCAUCAAUGCAAUCCAUCAAGGAGGGAUUAGUAAUGAUGGUGGUUUUGAUGUUGGGGGUUACCUUGUUAGUAGCUUUAGCCAUGAGGCACUUGGCGGUGAUGUUCUCGUUUUGUGAAUCGAAGAGAGACACCCGUGGAGUUGUGGCAAUGGCAAUGGAGGCCAUGGCCAUUGCUUCACCAUCUUCAUCAUCAUCAUCAUCAUCCUCAUGGUAUUCUUCUUGAACCACCAACCCUCGAGUAGGAUUCUUUUUGGUCAAGUUGUUCUUGUUGGGGAAGGACUUGGCUUUGUCUUUUCGGAUGAGCUUGCCACCAUUGUCUUCCUGCUUCUCGUAAGGGCAAUCCACAACAAAGUGGCUCACAUUGCCACAAUUGUAACAUGUUCUCACACGUUGCUUGCCCUUGAAACCACUUGAGUUGUUCUUGUUGAAGUUGGGCCUUGUGUUCUUCUUGCUCCAAAAUUGCCUUAGCAAGAGCCAUAUGUGCUCAUGAUAAUCAUAUUUUGUAUCUUCGAGGUUGAUCUCCUCAUCUUCCUCUUCUUCCUCUUCUUCCAGACUAACCUUGGCCUUCAAGGCAAGGUUGGGCUUCUUUGCUCUUUGAGAAUGCAAUACCGCGUUGUCGGCGGUCUUGUCCAAGAUCCCCAUUGCCACAAGCUCAUCCAACACUUCAUUUGAGGACAAGGUGUGGAAGUCCGGUCUUUGACAGAUGACCGAGGACAUGGCCUUUUGGUAGGGCAUCAUGGCCUUGAGGAACUUGCGUUUGAUCAAAUUGUCAUCUGUAUCCUUACUCCCAUGAUCUCGGAGUGAGACCAUGAGAGUGGUCAAUCUCCGGUAAAGCACACGAGGUUCUUCAUCUUCAUUCAUUGCAAACUCAUCGGCUUCAUCUUGCACCACUUCAUAGUUGGAGCGUUGAAUGCUAGUGCUUCCCUUGUAGAGGGAAACAACAUGGUGCCAUGCUUCCUUGGCCAUGGUGAAUGGUCGGAGAUGAGCAAUGUCUUCGGGUGGAAUUGCAUCAUGAAGGAUGAAGAGAGCAUUCUCGUUGAAUUGAUUAUCUGCGGCUUAUCUUGGAGUGAAUUUGCUUGGGUCAUGCGGAUAGAAACCAUCUUCAAUAAUUCUCCAAAGAUUAGUGUUAACAUGUUUUAAAUGACGCUUAAAGCGAUAGACCCAAGCAUCAAAAUCUUCAUUUUUCACAAUCUUAGGAUUAGGGCCGACAUGAUUUAAAUGAGUAGAGGGAAUCGGUCCUCCAUAAGUAAGUGGAGGUUCCACAUGGGCAAAGAUGUCGGUGCCAUUUUUACCACUAGUAGAAGGACCCUUUUCACUAGUAGCUUCCCCCUUGUCGGAGUUAGCAUCCAUCACCUUGUUAAUGGGAUCACCCACUUUCAUCGGCAAGGUAGAUAGUUUAAGUCCUUCUAAGAAUUUAUUAAACAUGCUUUCAACCUCGGUCGUCAUGGAGGUUUUCAAUGUGUCCAAAGCCACAUUGAAUUCCUCACGAGAGACUGCGGUUCCCCCAUCGGCCGUAGACGAGACCGGAUUCACACCAGAGUGCUCCUCCCCACCGUCUACAAUGUCAACCAUACUCUUUGGACGGCAAAGUCCUUAAAAAAGAGACGAGGCUCUGAUACCAAUUGAAAGGAUCAAUAUAGUUUACUAGAGGGGGGUGAAUAGGCAACUAAUAAUUUUUAGCUUUUCUUUACCAAUUUUAACUUUGCAUCAAAGUAGGUUGUCUAGAUAUGCCACUAGGUGAACAACCUAUAUGAUGCAACAACAAUAAGCACACAAGCAAACAAGGAUAGAACACAAUAUAGCUUGCACAAGUAAAGAAGAGAGAUAACCAAAAGGGGAACCGAUGAAGACGAGGAUGUGUUACCGAAGUUUCUUCCUUUUGAGGGGAAGUACAUCUCCGUUAGAGCGGUGUGGAGGCACAAUGCUCCCCAAGAAGCCACUAGGGCCACCGUAUUCUCCUCACGCCCUCACACAAUGCGAGAUGUCAUGAUUCCACUAUUGGUGCCCUUGAAGGCGGUGACUGAACCUUUACAAACAAGGUUGGGGCAAUCUCCACAACUUAAUUGGAGGCACCCAACGACACCACGAAGCUUCACCACAAUGGACUAUGGCUCCGCGGUGACCUCAACCGUCUAGGGUGCUCAAACACCCCAGAAUAACAAGAUCCGCAAGGGAUUAGUGGGGGGAAUCAAAUUUCUCUUGGUGGAAGUGUAGAUUCGGGGCCUUCUCAACCAAUCCCGAGCAAAUCAACAAGUUUGAUUGGCUAGGGAGAGAGAUCGGGCGAAAAUGGAGCUUGGGGCAACAAUGGAGUUUAGGGAUGGAAGAGGUAGGUCUUCUUGGAGAAGAAGACCCCUUUAUAUAAUGGGGGCACAAAACCAACCGUUACCCACCACUCAGCCCGCGACCCGUGGUACUACCGCAUGGGCCUGUGGUACUAUCGCGGGGGCCCACGGUACUACCGUGGGCGCGGCAGGGCCUGGACCUGACCAGAAGAGCACCGACAGGGUGCGGUAGAACCGCUGGCGCGGUACUACCGCGAAUCCGUACGGUACUACCGCAUGGCAGGCACAGUCCAGGCACGGUAGGCACGGAUAUAAAAAGUUACAUCUGUGACUACAUACGCUGAGAUUUUAUCUGUGCAAAAGUCUGACACGAUACUACCGUACACCAGGUGCGGUACUACCGUGUAGGGUCCGGAUGUAAAAAAUUACAUCCGCCCCUACUUCCGCUCAUGCUGCUGUGUCUGGCCAGGCUAUGCAGUACUGCCGCGCCAGAGCACGGUACUACCGCAUAGGGCGCGGAUGUAAAAAAAUUACAUCUGCCCCUACUACUGCUUGCGCAGCAGAGCCAGGCCCGAGCUCACGGUACUACCGCUCAUAAGGAGUGGUACUACCGUGGGCGCCCAUGGUACUACUGUGCCGGGGCCCGGUACUACCGCUCUGGUGAGCAGUACUACCGCCAGCUUAAGAACAUCAACACUAGGAGUCCUUCAUUUUACAAAGACACGGUGAGACGGAGGAAACUCCAAAGAGCCAAAGGAGAGGUGGUGCAAAAAGGAACGUGUGCACGUGAGAUUCCACCCAAACCUUUCCAACGCGGACCCCCUCUUAAUAGUACGGCUUUCCUACGACUCAAAACCACCGAAACGAAGCGUAGAGAAACGCCGUCUUCAAUAAUCUUUGAGGGGCAACAAAUCGUCUUGUGUUCAGUCAUGAUAUAUCUGAAAAGCUCAAUGCACACGAUUAGUCCGCAAAAGCAUUGUCAUCAAUCACCAAAACUACUAAGGGAUAACUAUGCCCUUACAAGUACCCUCUAACUAAUUCCUCCCUAGUCUGUUAUAGACAAUAGUGGGUCUGCUUUGUUCUUGCUAUUACUUAGUGGCUUUCAUUUCAACUAAACGUUCUUCUUGUGCUCUGAUUUUCAUUGUUUACUUUUUUCUCUUGUCACCUUUCUUUUGUUGAGCAAAGAUACUAAAAAGGCACCUAAUAUCAAAUAAUUAACAAGGAAAAUAGUAAUAACCAAUAUAAUGGAAAGAUAACACACGUUCCGUCCAACCUUAAAUCCUACCCUGUCUCCAUUUUGAUUUUUUCCGGUUUUCUUUCUAGACCGUUUUAACUAGACCACCUUGUAUUGACUAACCAAAUAAAAUUAUGUUUUUUUGUAUAAGGCAAUAAGUUCUUAACAAAUAAAAUCCUCAAAUUCAUUUAGGUAGGUAAUUUGUGUACAUGAUUUGAUAAGACCCUGAUAAGUACCUGACGUGUGACACGAGCACAUGGCAACUCUGAACGUUUUUGAUGGCAAGUUUAGUGACGUGAGGAUGACAAUUUUCAUGAUCCAGUUACUUUUUGACAGAAACUUACCGUGUGUCAUUGAAAUUUGCCAUCCUUGAAUGACUGAAAUUGCCAUAAAAAAAGUCAGGCCAGAGUGCCACACACCUAACGUGUGGCAUUUAUCAUUUGGGAUUUGAUAAACAUUUAUUUACAUAGUCACCUUAAUAUGGGCAGAUAAAUCACGCGCUAACAUACUAUAAUAUUCAUAUCUUGUUGCAACAACACACAAACAAUUAUCUAGUUACAUAAAAAAUCGUAAUGAUCGCCUUUUUUAUCCUUCUCUUUGUGUAAUCUAAGAUGGCAUAAAAUCCCCCCUAAUGAAUUCACCGGACAAUGCUUUUAUCAAGUAUACUUUCUUUUUGUGCACAUAAAUUACUUUGUUAAUAUGUUGUGUAGGGAUGAAAACGGCACGGAAACGGACCAAACUGGGUGCUAUCAUAUUUGUUUUCAUAUUUUUUUUACAAAAGCGGAAACAAAUACAGAAACUUCGGAAACAAAUACAGAAACAGAUACUACCGAAAACAAACACGGAGUGAAUAUAGAGCGGACACAGAAACAAAAUUGUGUGUUAACCGGAACUUAAAACCCUCUUGAAUCAUAGAGAAAUACAGACAAAAAAACAAACAAAUUGAUGGAAUUCUUAACAUGGCUACAAAAUGAUAUGGUUGUGUUGGUAAUAUAUGAUUGUAUUUUAGUAGUACAUCACAAUUCAGUAUAGAGUCUAGCUGAGUAUGUGUGUGGUAGUAAAAGUUGGUACUCAAAUGAUACAUUAUGCUCAUUCUACUCAUUGUGUUUUGUUUGGUAGUUGGGCUACAAAGCAGCCAUGGGCCUAUAGUAGAAAGGAAAUUCCAUAUUAACAGAAAUGGAAAGUUCCGUUUCCACGUUUGUUCCACCGGAAAACACCAUUCCGUUUUUGUUUCCAUUUCCGCAUAAAAAAAUCCAUUUCCAUUUCCGUUUUGUAAAAUUCCGUUUCUGUUUUCAUAUUUCCUCUCAAUUUCCAUUUUUCCUCCGGAAAAGAGAAAACUUUUCACUCCAUUUUCAUCCCUAUUGUAUUGUAUGUAUCAUGAAAAUUAUAUCAUCAAAUAUAUGUCAAAACAAAUGCUUAAUUAUGUCUUGAUUCUGUAUGACAUAAAUCACAUAGUAAAAAAAUCGAGAGUUUGGUGGCCAAAGACGUAAACUAGAGAAGUUUUAGAGGGAGAAAGUAUAGUCUAGUGAAUCGGCUGUCAAUAAAAAAAUGUACUCUUUGCCCUAAAUAAAAGUUGUGUCUUUUCGUUUGGAAGCAGCAGCUUGCAAGUUUCUUGCCCUGCUGCCCGGCCGUAGCCGUGGUUACCGAAGCACUGAAGCGAACAUCAGAAAUAAAAAUUAUAUCCAGAUUCAUAGACCAUCUAACGACAACUACAAGCACUGAAGCGAGUCGAAGGCGCGUCGCCGUCAUCGCCCUUCAUCGUCAGAAUCAGGCAUAAUUUUUCAUAAUAGACAGUCAGGAAGUUGUCAUGUUAAGGCCCCAUAGGACCAGCACCCCAAAACAACAACCGCCGAUGAUGAAAAAUAACGUAAAACGGAAGGAUCCAAACCAAAAACACACGAACUAGACGAACAACAGCAAGAUCCAAGCAAAUCCAUCAAAGAUAAAUUUGCCGAAGACACACCUCCACAAACCCACCAACGAUACUAGACGCGCAGCCGGAACGGAGGCUAGGCAGAAAGACCUCUAUUCCAUCUUCAGAAAGUCGCCAACGUCUCGCCUUCCUGAGCAGGACAAACCCUAGCAAGAUUAAAAAAACGUCUAAAAACGAAGCCCUCCCGCUGACCCUUGCCAGGAUCCAUCGCGCCUUCAUGGCUCUAAUGCCACCAAAAACGAGGCAGACCUGCGCCGACGCCGACGAGAGGCACGAACCCUAACUUUUUUUUAAGGAGAAUCAGACCGACGGGCGGCGGCUCUCCGUUCCCGUACUUGUGAGUCGUGACCUUGAUGAAUUAAUCAGCAAAGCGCAAUUGAACAUAUAAACCCUCCUAGACUCGUAGUCACGACCGUUGCCUCCAUGUCGCCUUUAAAUCGCUAUGCCACCGCCUGUAAAUUCCGUGCCCCGCCAAGGGCAUUUUAGUCAUUUCACGCACAGCAUAUAAAACGCAGCCCGCCCGUGGAGAAACCCUAGCUGCUGCCUCCGCCCGCACUCGCGCCCCCACCUACCCACAGAGCUCUUUCCCCCGAUCCCCUCCCACGAACCCUAGCCUCCUGGUGACGCCGCCCCUUCCUUCCCCCGUCCCCCUCACCCCCCCCUCCCGCCGCCGCGAGCCCCUCCCUCCUCUUCGCGUUCCGGGCGGCCAUGGGCGACUCCAUGAGCGAGACCACCGCCGUCGCGGCGCUCGUGGCCGGCGGCGCACACCACGGGGCUCGGGACGUCCGCGGUGGUGCGGGCUGUGGACCGAGAUGCAGGGCUCGGGACGUCCGUGGCGGCGCGGCCUGUGGACCGAGAGGCAGGGCUCAGGACGUCCGCGGCGGCACGGGCUGUGGACCGAGAGGGAGGGCCUGUGAUGCAUUCCGUUCGAGGGGCUGGUCAGGUUGGCGCGGGAUCUGAGCCACCGUCGAUGGAUUUCUCGCAGCUUGGCUACUGUUGCUUUGGAUCCGGUACGAUGCCCAUCUCUCUCUCUCUCUCCGAGACUCAACCAGGCACUCACUCGCUCACUCUGUUUGUGCACGCGCGUGUGCGCAGUUUCACAUCCCUAAACACCUAAGACUUAGUUCUGAAAUAUUCAGAUGCUUAUGUACUGUUCCAACUUGCCAUCUUUGUUACUCACGACCUGCUUGACGGAGAUACAAAAGAUGGAAAGAGAACAUUGCUUCUUGUAGAUAGUCUGUUAAAUUUCCAUGAAUUAACCCUUUCAGGUUUAGGUCAUAUUCAGUGGUGUCAUUUUCCUGUUUGUACAAAGUAUAUGCUGUUUGACAUUGACACGAAAGGCAGAAAAUACAAAAAAUGCAUAAUUUCCAAGACAUGAUUCUACUAACCUCAUUCUCACGUUAUCAUUCUAAUUAUCUUUUAUUUUUAGUCAAUACAAAAGUAGUUUUGGCUGUAGCCACUCUAAAACCAUAUUUGUUUGCCUCCGCACAUAGUUAAACUCGGUCUCAUGACACCAUUUGUUGUCUUCAGAUUUAGAUAAAAGCAUCACAGUUAUCAAUUUAAUUAGUAGCACCACCGCUAUGUGAUUAGGACAUCAUGCUGGCCAUCGAGGAUGAUCUGAUCAUGCAGUUCUUGUUUGCUGCCGCACAUACUUCGCAACCUGCCUUAUGGACUGCAGUUUCAUUUUUUAUGAGUUCUUGAGAUAUGUUAUUUGCAGGGAGCAUCCUGAUUUCUUCAGUUGCAAUUGUUUUGUUCAUUUACUUUUUGCAUUCUUGAUUGGCUCAAACAUGCUCAUUGUGAAAGGGCGAGGAGCCGCCGCCAUGUUUCUCCCCGAGCUCUGUGGUAGAAUGGUCUAUUUGUAUGAGAUUGUGUUUAGCGGAUGCGAAGAGCUCAGUUCUGGUAAGCUAGACCCUGAGGCGUGCAGCAGGUAUGUGGAGAUUAAGGAGCGUGCCCAUGUGAGCGGCUUCGAUUUUGUUGUGCCAAGAUCUCUGGUGGCAGGGAUUCACUUCGUUUUUUUGGUGAUGGUCAGGAGGUUAUAUAGUUUGAUGUUUCUGAAUUUUAACAAUCAUGUUUUACAGUACCCUUGACAUGAAUGAGAUCAUUGGGCUUAAAUGAGAACGAUGAGAACCAUCUGUUCUCCAUCGCAAUUAGCAUGUGUUUAAACUACUACUGCAGCAAAUGUUUGUCGUACCUUCAGUUUGUGCCGCAGAAUCUGUGUUUCAUUGGCACUUUUGUGUGUGUUUGAUUUAGUAUCUUUACCCAGGUGCUUGCUAGAGGAGAAGAUUAAUGGUCCGACACAGCUUCAUGAUGUAUGAGCUGGAGGAGAGGGCAUUGGAUGAACCAAUCAGUUCGAAGUUGUAGGUAUGCAAAAACUUCAACAUGUAUGUAUAGUAAAUUUGUAAUAGCAAAACUCUUGCUUCCUUGCGCAUAAGAGAAAAACACCAAAUUUUUUAUCACCUUAACUUGUCGAUGGCAUACCAUCCUGUCACAAACCCUCAAUAAUGUGCAACUCUUUUUUACCGGCUCUGAGAUAUUGCAUAGUGAUGUCUCACAAUUAAGAUUAUUACUGUGAAAAAUAACUGACCUCAUGUUAUCUCAUGUACUUUGGUACUGCCUUCACAUAAGAAGUUGUACACUAGAGGCAAGAACAUGAUGUGUGUGUGUGUGUGUNNNNNNNNNNNNNNNNNNNNNNNNNNNNNNNNNNNNNNNNNNNNNNNNNNNNNNNNNNNNNNNNNNNNNNNNNNNNNNNNNNNNNNNNNNNNNNNNNNNNNNNNNNNNNNNNNNNNNNNNNNNNNNNNNNNNNNNNNNNNNNNNNNNNNNNNNNNNNNNNNNNNNNNNNNNNNNNNNNNNNNNNNNNNNNNNNNNNNNNNNNNNNNNNNNNNNNNNNNNNNNNNNNNNNNNNNNNNNNNNNNNNNNGGGGGGGGGUAAAAAACCCUGGGUAUGCAUUCUUCACUUGAACAGAUUCGAUAAUUUAUCCCAAUACUCUCUUUGUAUUUAUGUCUUUGAGGAAAUCCUAUGAUAGAUAUAUUUUGUCUGUUGUUUCAUGCAUUCUUCAGCUUUAUGAUUAAUACUCCGAGAAAUUUGAAAACUUUAGUCAUUAAAUAUAUGCCCCAAGAAAUUUAGAAUGGGACCAUGGGAUUACCCCUUUUGAGGGUUUUCACCUUACAGAGGAAGAAAUUUAACAUUUUUGUUUUCAAUAUCAUUUUCCCUGACGGAUUACAUACAGGUUGUUAUUUUAUUUACAAACAUGUCAAGUGUGGUUUUUUUCGUUUUCUGUAAAGAUCAUUCACAUCUACUUUUUCGUUCCUCCCAUCUGGAUUUCUGAUUUGAUUCCAGAGUUUGGAGGUGGAUGUUACUAAAGGGAGGAAGUUGAUCACAAGUUUUCUUUCAGCAAUUGGUGAGUUACAGGUCAGCCCCAUCUCACAUCACUAAAUCUGCAACUCAUGCUUUUUCUUGCUUGAUAUUAAUUCUCGAUAUUCUUGUCACAUCCUUACAGGGAUAUCAUGUGCAUAUUUAUGAGUCUGCUUUUCUUCGGUUGAAGAUAUAUGUGUGCCUGAAGAUACAAUCUUACAUGCAUUUUCUGUAUGAUAUGAUCACUAUUUCAUUCUCUGUGUGUACGUAGGUUGCAAGAAUGAGAAGGCUCCUCCGUGCUUAACAGGAAGAGACAGGGUCGCAGCCGCACCGCACGACGGCAGGCCAUGGCGAGCCGCACCACACCAGGUGGGCUAGAGCGAGCUCCAGCGCGAGCGAGCGCACCCGUCGCCCAUGCUGGCGGUGUCCCGGCCACGAGCAACAGGAACAUAGGGUCCCUGACCAUGGCUGGAUCUCCUCCUUCUCCGUCCACAUGCGUGCAGCAGGAACUAGCAGCCGCACGGGUCUGAGCUCGGCCUCUCAAGUAGGGUGGCUUCCAUGCUGUAGCUAUUGUUCUUUUCUCCAUUUCUCUGAAGAUGCUUGCUAUCUUCAGAUCUUGCCGAGUGUUCGUCUGAGAUUCACUGUCUUGAUUUAGUUAGUGGUUUGGAUAGUAGUACUCCAUGAAUUUUCAUUUGAUCCGCUGUCUGUUGCCGCCGCCGGUAAAUUGGAUGAUUGGUGCAGUUUCACAUCCCUAAACCCAAACCCUAAGACUUAGUUCUGAAAUAUUCAGACCAUAUUUACUGAAGUGUGUCAGUGUUGGUUUACUUGUGAUACUUGCUCCAUUGUUGUGUUUAAUCAUAUUGUCUGAUCUUAUCAUAUGCUAUGCUCGCCAAGUUCAACUAUCAAUAUCUAAUUUCUCAUCUGAUUUUGACACCUUGCUCUUCUGCAGUUUUGUUUCACUUUUCAAGGAUGAGUAUCUUUACUUUGAAAAUGAACUGGUCAUAUUUCUAUUGGAAAUGAAGUGAUGUUGCUUCCCAGGUAAAUAACUGAAUUCUCUUCUACUUUAGUAGAUUCAGUAACUUUGCUUUAGAGUUGUUGUUUAACAGUAGCACUACCCUUGAGUAACUAGAUCAAUGGCUGCCACUAUGUAGAUCUUGGUUCCAGUACAUAUGAUAAUCAUGGUUCUUCUGUCUUGGUCUGAUGAUUUUAUACAUGCCAACAAGCAACCAUGCGAUAUGUUCUUUACUUCUGCACCUAACAGCAUGUUUUCCCACAAAAAAGUACAUGUGCCGCGGCAAUCAUGCAUUUUAUCAUUUUAAUAGCCAGUCAAGUUCGUCCUUCAAAUGAUACAGAAGGCAGUCAAGUUCCAUCCUCUAAUUUCUUGUGAUCAUUGUAGGACCAAUUAGGAUGUAUACCUGAAGGAGUGAAUCUACUGGUUCAGCUGAAAAUUGAUCUCUAUUUGGUUUCUGUUUUUGUGUUUGGUUUUGCCGACCGCUCGUCCUUCGUAUGCUCAUCCAUCUUGGCUGCUCUGCUUGCCUGCUUCUCCACUCUAACUCAG